GACUAUAUAAACCAUUGCAAGAAUCAGAGCUAUAAAAAUGAGCUACAACAUACUCCGUAUCUAAGUACUCAUAUUGCCCUUCUAGCUACAUUGAGAUAAUGUAAAGAGUAGCUAAUUUGCACUAGUGCAGAAGUCGAAAGGAUACCAAUCUGUGGGAUUGAGAGCCAUUACGAUUGCCAGUCCUAGUAACAAUGACAAGAUUCGUUGCUUCAUGUGGAAAGACCACACUUCUAGUGGAAACCAGGGUGUAGGUGGGUUGGCUGGACGAGCUUUGGUUGAACUGAUCUUCGCGGACCCUGCACCUCGGCGUGGCUGUGCAAGAGGAGGAACCCAGUGACGGCUUUAAACUACGCUAGGCCAUCUCCCAUGGCUCACCAGUCAUCUCAAGCCACCGUCGCCUGUUGUCCUUGCCUUGGCCUUGUCCCAGGAGGAAGAAUACUGACGCAGACUGCACACACAUGUAGGAAGAACACACAGAGUCUAGUGCACACGCACUUGUGCUUUCCUCUUGUUCUCUCUUGACCAGAAUAAACAACAUGAUUACAGAGCUUGCCAUGACCGUUGCCACUGGGUACGGAAACGCUACAAGAAAUGGUUCAAGGUUCCAUUAGUCAUGCCAAAAUUUAUCGGCAGUCGGUUGAUCGGCGAUGACGAGAUUAUCGGUACAUCCGCAAGCGGCUAUCAUUAGCCGUCUAUAAACAAGAAAACGAUCAUUUUCUUCAACUUUGAUUAGUUGUCAAGUGAUGCAUGCAUUUUUUCUUGUAGUUGUGAGUAUAUGAUGAUUUUCUUUCUAAUUUUGGAUAGUUAAAAAAGAAUCACUGCUCGACAAUCGAUGUUGGUUUGUCUUCCCAGGACUGCAGCUUAAGCUCUACCUGGUCAGCACUUUACUGACCGACAUUGUCCCACUAUUAGGUGAUGCUAUUGAUAGUAGUUCGCGAAAGAUUUGGACCCCACUAUUAGGUGAUGCUAUUGAUAGUACUUCGCGAUAGAUUUGGACCUUGCCAUUCUUAAUGAGCUGACACCUUGUAACUUAUCUGAUCAGCGCGCAUGCUACAGCUUGCCAACAACAUGUAUGUUAGCAGUCGGUCAGGGACGUUCAGUGCUAGCUUUGUACGUGCAUGCAUGAGACAUCCAUCUUGCCUUCGUCUCCAUUGUUGCGUGUCGCGGGAAGCCAGUCAGCGUGUGGUACUGGGCCAAUAUGCGCUAGCUAGGGUUGAGAUUGCCAAGGGUUGGGUUCGACAUAUUUCUUCGAUUUCGACAUAAGCAAGUCGUCUCGUCCGGGCCGUACCAACUUGGCUUCUGACCUCGUGUGCACCUUACUUGCCUCUAGCUACGCAAGUCAAGCAUGGCCUACAGCUCGAGGUCAAGAUAGCAAUACGACCAUGAACUAUGCAUGCAUGACACAAAGUAGUAUACCAUUUAAUAUAAUACGGUAUCAUAAUAUGAUACCACAUCCUCUAUUUUGUCAUUUAAUGAUAUGCCACAUCAUCAAAUAAAUCUAAUUGACAUGCAUGAUACUGCUUAUGAUAUUCCCAUUAUGAACCAGCCUAACGAGGAGUACCAUAUAUAUACUUGUAUCACGCAUAUGAUAUUAGUGUAUUAUACUACAGCCAUAGUGUAUGCUAUCAUAUAUGAGUAUCAUAUGAUAGUUUAUUUAUUGUUAUGCAUGAUCCAUAAUAGACAUCAUCUAAUAUGAUAUUGUAUUAUGAUAUUGAUACCCGAACCUUUCUUUUUUUACUUAAUUUUAUACCACCUUACAAAACAAAUAUAGUUGGCAUGCGUGAUACUAUCUAUGAUACUCCCAUUACGAACAACCUAAGCCAAUACUACUACAUAGUGCUUAAUCAACUAGUCUAUAAAUGUGGUGCCUCAGGCCGCCCCUCGCCUGAUCUAUCAUCUAUCUAGCCCAACAAAUACCAUUUGCUCUCAUCUCAUGGCCGCGCACGCAUUCAAGGUCUCCGUCAUCGUCGUUCUGAUUGCCAUCUGCGUUGUCGUGUUGGCCCCUACCAUGGCGGAAGCGGGGUGCACCGAGCACCGCGGUUGCGAGCCCAGCCUGGCUCCAAAACGAGUGAUGUGCACCGACAUGUGAGGCGCCCUGCAUCGUGUGAGAGAGACUCCCGCCUCUAGGAGGAGGCUUGCUUCUUCGACUACAUCGAGUCUGCCGAGGACUGCAAUGAUAGAUGCAGAGCGGGCGGCGACGACUGAGGGUCUUGUUAGUUCGCUAGCCGGGAAGCCUACCUGAGUGCUAGUGCUGCUGGCUACGCCUAUAGGGAUUUCCUUGGCAAAUAUGCAAAGGAUUCCCCCGCGGCCUUGGAGCCUUGCGUUGGUGUUCCCUUGAAGAGGAAAGGGUGAUGUAGCACAGCGGCGGUAAGUAUUUCCCUCAGUUUGAGGAACCAAGGUAUCAAUCCAGUAGGAGGAUCGCGUCAAGUCACAAGUACCUGCACAAACACAAAGAGCUUGCACCCAACGCUAUGAAGGGGUUUUCAAUCCCUUAUAGAUUGUUUGCAAAGUGAGAACUGAAAGCAAAAAGUAAACAAAGAAAAGUAAAAGUAAAAGCGGAGAUGAUAGUUGUGAAUAGACCCAGGGGCCGUAGUGUUCGCUAGUGGCUUCUCUCAUGAAAGCAAGUAGAUGGUGGGUGAACGAAUUACUGUCGAGCAAUUGAUAGAACCGCGCAAAUUCAUGGCGUUAUCUAUAGAAACGAUCAUACAUAUAGGCAUCACGUCCAAAUCAAGUAGACCGAUACUUNNNNNNNNNNNNNNNNNNNNNNNNNNNNNNNNNNNNNNNNNNNNNNNNNNNNNNNNNNNNNNNNNNNNNNNNNNNNNNNNNNNNNNNNNNNNNNNNNNNNNNNNNNNNNNNNNNNNNNNNNNNNNNNNNNNNNNNNNNNNNNNNNNNNNNNNNNNNNNNNNNNNNNNNNNNNNNNNNNNNNNNNNNNNNNNNNNNUAUUGAGUUCAUAAGAAUAGAGUAACGCCUUAAGCAAGAUGACAUGAUGUAGAUGGACAAUCUCAAAUCUAUGAUGAAAGCCCAUCUUGUUACUUGCGUGCCUUGUUGCCCCUUCCGUCACUGGGAAAGGUCACCGCACGGUAUGAACCCAAAACCAAGCACUUCUCCCAUUGCAAGAAUCAUAGAUCUAGUUGGCCAAACAAAACCCAAGACUCGGAGAGACUUACAAGGAUAUCAAAUCAUGCAUAUAAGAAAUCAGCAAAGACUCAAAUAUAAUUCAUAGAUAAUCUGAUCACAAAUCCACAAUUCAUCGGAUCUCGACAAACACACCGCCAAAGAGGAUUACAUCGGAUAGAUCUCCAUGAAGAUCAUGAGAACUUUGUAUUGAAGAUCCAAGAGAGAGAAGAAGCCAUCUAGCUACUAACUACGGACCCGUAGGUCUGAAGUAGACUACUCCCGAGUCAUUGGAGAGGCAAUGAUGUUGAUGUAGAAGCCCUCCAGCUCCAAAGUCCCCUCCGGCAGGGCACCGGGAAGGGUCUCCAGAUGAGAUCUCGCGGAAACGGAAGCUUGCGGCGGCAGAAAAGUGGUUUCGUGGACGCCCUGAUUUUUUCUGGGAUUUUAGGGAAUAUAUAGGCCAAAGAGCUAGGACACGGGAGCUCCAGGGAGGCCAGAAGCCUAGUGGCUGCGGGCCCCCCUGGCCACGGCUACAGGGCUUGUGGGCUCCCUGUGGGCCUCCUGCCUUGGCCCUCAAGUCCCCCGAUCUUCUUCUGUUCUGGAAAAAUUUAUUUCGGGGAUUUUAUUCCGUUUGGACUCCGUUCCAAAAUCAGAUCUGAAAAGAGUCAAAAACACGGAAAAACAGGAACUGGCACUUGGCACUGAAUUAAUAAGUUAGUCCAAAAAAAGAUAUAAAAGGUAUAUAAAACAUCCAAAGUGGACAAGAUAACAUCAUGAAACCAUCAAAAAUUAUAGAUACGUUUGAGACGUAUCAAGCAUCCCCAAGCUUAACUCGUGCUCGUCCUCGAGUAGGGAAGUGAUAAAGAAUGAAUUUUUGAUGCUUUCAUGCUACCUAGCAUAGAUGUCCUUUGUAACUCCUCUUAUGAGACAUGAAUGUUCAGAUCCGUUAGAUUCAAAACAAUAGUUUGCUAUUGACGUGGAGACAAUAGUACUUCAAGCGAACUAACAAGGUAAUCAUGAACUUUCAAAAUAACAAGGCCAAAAGAAAGUUAUCCCUACAAAAUCAUAUAGUGUGGCUAUGCUCUAUCAUCCUUGCACAACGAAUUUAAAUCAUGCACAACCUCGGUAUUGGCCAAGUAAUUGUUUUCACACCUUUACUUUCUAAAACUUUUUCAACUCUCACGCAAUACAUGAGCGUGGGCCAUGGUUUUAGCACUAUAAGUGGAAUGGAGUGUGGUGGAGGUUGCAAGGCAAACAAGGAGAAUAUGGUCACAUAGACUAGGCAUAUCAAUGAGCUACAGAGAUGCUCAUCAAUAGAUAUCAAUGUGAAUGAGUAGGGAUUGCCAUACAAAUGAUGCACUAGAGCUAAGAGUAUGUGAAAGCUCUUAAAGAAAACUAGUGGGUGUGCAUCCAACUUGCUUGCUCACGAAGACCUAAGGCAAUUUUGAGGAAGCCCAUCAUUCUAAUAUACAAGCCAAGUUAUAAAAUGAAAAUUUCCCACUAGUUAUAUGGUGGUGACAAAACGAGAGACUCUCAAUCAUGAAGAUCAUGGUGCUUAAUAUGAAGCACAAGUGUGGAAAGGAGAUAGUAGCAUUGUCCCUUCUCUCUUUUUCUCUCAUUUUUUUGGUGGGCUCUUUGGCCUCUUUUAUUAUUUUUGUGGGCAUCUUUGGCCUCUUUUUGUAAAUGGGCUUCGCUGGCCUCUUUUAUUUCCUCACAUGGGACAAUGCUCCAUCAAUGAUGAUCAUCACACUUACAACUCAAAACUUAGAGCAAUGAUGACUCUAUAUGGAAUGCCUUCGGUAGUGUACUGUGACAAUGAUCUAGCAUGGCAUAGACAUCAAUGGAAACACCAUGCGAGCUAUCUUAUGAUCAUGCAAUGGCAAUAUAGAAGCUAUGGCACAUGUCAUCAUGGUAGUUGCAUGGCAAUAUAUCUUGGAAUGGCUUUCAAAAAGCCAUAGUAGGUAGGUAAGGUGGCUGUUUUGAGGGAGGCUAAAGGUGGUUUUAUGCACCGGCGAAAGUUGCACGACACUAAAGAAGAUAGUGAUGGUGGAAGGUGAAAGUGCAUCUAAACCAUGGACUCAACAUUAGUCAUGAAGAACUCAUAUACUUGUUGCAAAAGUUUUAGUAGUAAUCGAAACAAAGCAUUCAACGUAUACUCCUAGGGGAAGGGUUGGUAGGUAUAAACCAUCGCGCGAUCCCGACCGCUACAGAAAGGAUGACAAUCAAUAAAAUAAUCAUGCUCAGACUUCAUCACAUAGCGGUUCACCAUACGUGCAUGUUACGGGAAUCACUAACUUCAACACAAGAAUUUCUAGAUCCACGACACCUUACUAGUAUAACUUCAAUAUUACCACAACCACAACUCAAAACUAAUUGAGUUGAAUCAAACUUCUCUAACUACUCAAUGCACAUGAAGGUGGAAGUUUUCAUAUCCCUUUGGAUAACUAACCCUUUUGCGACUAUUUUCAUAACAUAGAUCAACUACCACGCCACACACUGCGUGCUCCAAAAGAUAGAAGUGAAGCACAAAGAGCAAAAUCAACUAGCUCAAAAGAUAUAAGUGAAACACAUGUGAGCUGAAUUGCCUAACAUAAGGAUAUAAGUGAAGCUUGACAAAAUCAUGGUGAGUGCAUGUCUCUCGCUCUAGGUGUGCAGCAAGGAAGAUUGUGACACAACAAAAAUAAAAGACUCCUACGAUACAAGAAGCUCCAAGAAAAACACAUAACAUGUGGUGAAUAAAAAUAUAGCCCCAAGUAACGUUACCGAUGGAUUGAAGACGAAAGAGGGGAUGCCUUCCCGGGGCAUCCCCAAGCUUAGGAUUUUUCGGCAUCCUUGAAUCAACUUGGGGUGCCUUGGUCAUCUCCAAGCUUGAGCUCUUGCCACUCUUUAUCUCUUUGUCCAUAAGAACUUCACCCAAUACUUGAAAACUUUACAACACGAAACUUAAACAGAAACUCGUGAUAACAUUAGUACAAGAAAGCAAACGACCACUUCCUUAGGUACUGUAGCAAACUUAAAUUCUACUUAUGUUGAUGUUGGGUUACUAUAUUUUCAAUCUUCCAUGGCUAAUACCCCACGAUACUAUCCAUAGUUUCAUCAAAAUAAGCAACCAACUCAACAAAAACAGAAUCUGUUAACAGCAGACCAGUCUGUAGCAAUCUGUAUACUUCGUAUACUUAUGGUACUUCAACAAUUUGGUAAAAUUACGACAGUCUGAAGAAUUUGCGUAGCAAUCAGUAGCAAAAAUAAACAACUCAAAAGCUCUCACAUAAAAAAAAUGAAAAUUCUUCUCGUGAGCAGAAAGUUUUUGUCUUUUCCAGCAUGACCAAACGAUCAUCCCCAAGACUAAUCAUCACGGUUUCACUUGGCACAAACGCAAAAAGAAACACAAAAAACACAAUCAUAACAGAAUUGUGAAAGUGUGGAAAACACAAAACAGAAAGAAAAAGGACAAAUUCGUUGGGUUGCCUCCCAACAAGCGCUAUUGUUUAACGCCCUUAGCUAGGCAUAAGGUGAUGGAAUCACGUAUAGUCAUCUUUGGUGCUCAAACCAUAAGUAGCCCUCAUCAUAGAUUCAUUAGGAAAUCUUAUUUUCUUUCUAGGAAAAUGCUCCAUGCCCUUCAUUAGAGGGAAUUGAAAUCUAAUAUUCCCUUCCUUCAUAUCGAUGAUAGCACCAAUAGUCCUUAGGAAAGGUCUACCAAGAAUAAUGGGACAUGAAGGAUUGCAAUCUAUGUCAAGUACAAUGAAAUCCAUGGGUACAGAGUUCUUAUUUGCAACAAUAAGAACAUCAUUGAUCCUUCCCAUGGGUUUCUUGAUAGUAGAAUCCGCAAGAUGCAAAUUAAGAGAACACUCUUCAAUCUCAUGAAAACUAAGAAUAUCACAUAAAGACUUUGGAAUCACGGAAACACUAGCACCCAAAUCACACAAAGCAUUGCAUUCAUAGUUUUUGAUUUUGAUUUUGAUAGUAGGUUCCCACUCAUCAUGAAGUUUUCUAGGUAUAGAGACUUCUAAUUCGAGUUUCUCUUCAAGAGAUUUCAUCAUAGCAUCUACGAUAUGAGCGGUAAAGGCUUUGCUUUGGCUAUAAACAUGUGGAGAGUUUGCAAUGGAUUGCAUCAAGGAAAUGCAUUCAAACAAGGAGAAACUAUCAUAAUUGAGUCCCUUGAAAUCCAAAGUGGGAAUUUCAUUACUACCCAAUAUUUUGAUUUCUUCUACUCCACUCUCCACACCCUUAUCAUCAAGAUAGGUGGACUCCGAAUCAUUGGGGCGUUUUUCAACCAAAGUGAAUUCAUAUCCAGCCCCUUCAUCAAUAGGUUUGACACGCGAAAACAAAGAUUCAAGAGGAGUCACACCAAGCACUUUAAGAUCUUCGUGAUUUGCAUCACUAGAACGCACCCUUUUAAACCAUUCAUGCCUAGCCCGAAUUUGGGCGGUUCUUUCUUUGCUCUCAUUCAUGGAGACGCGCAUAGCUUUUAAAGUUUCAUCCAAGUUGACCUUGGGAGGAGCACAUCUAACUUCCAAAGCAUCAAUAUCACAAGACAUCCUAUCAACGCUCUUAGCCAAAUCGUCUAUUUUUAGUAGUUUUUCCUCUAUGGACGCAUUGAAAAUCUUUUGAGAGUUGAUGAACCCUUUGAUAUUACUCUCUAAAUCAGAGGGUAAUUUGUUAUGAUUUCCAUAAGUGUUGUUGUAGGAAUUGCCAUAAUAGUUAGAGGAGUUACUAGGAAAAGGCCUAGGAACAUAUUUUCCUCUAAAAGCAUUGUUGUUGCCAAAAUUGUUCCUACGAACAAAAUUAACGUCCAAACUAGCGUUGCUAAUCUCAAUCAAGGAAGAUAGUGGCAUGUCAUUAGGAUGUAAAGGAGCAAUUCUACUAUCAACCAAAUUCAUCAACUCGUCCAUCUUAGCACUAAGCGAGUUAAUUUCUUCUAUAGCAUGUACCUUUUUGCUAGCACGUGACCUUUGAGUGUGCCACAGAGAGUAGUUGGUCAUGAUAUUGUCUAGGAGUUUUGUAGCUUCUCCUAACAUGAUUUCCAUGAACGUUCCACCUGAGGCGGAGUCCAAGAUAUUGCGAGAAGAAAAAUUCAAACCAGCGUAAAAGAUUUGUAUAAUCAUCCACAAACUCAAGGCAUAAGCGGGACAAUUUCUAAUCAUUAACUUCAUCCUCUCCCAAGAUUGUGCAACGUGUUCAUGAUCAAGUUGCUUGAAAUUCAUGAUAUCGUUACGGAGAGAGAUAAUCUUAGCCGACGGAAAAUACUUGGAUAUGUAAGCAUCUUUGCACUUAUUCCAAGAAUCGAUACUAUUUUUAGGCAAAGAAGAGAACCAAGUUUUUGCACGAUCUCGCAUAGAGAACGGAAAAACCUUCAAUUUAACAACAUCAUUAUCGACAUCUUUCUUGUUUUGCAUAUCGCAAAGUUCAAUGAAAGUAUUAAGAUGGGAUGCGGCAUCUUCACUAGGAAGGCCAGAAAAUUGCUCUUUCAUAACAAGAUUUAGCAAGGCAGCAUUGAUUUCAUAUGAUUCCGCACUAGUGGCGAGAGAAAUCGGAGUACUAAUAAAAUCAUUAUUAUUAGUAUUCGAGAAGUCACAAAGUUUGGUUUUUUCAGCCAUGAUGACUUCAACAAACAAACAAGAACACAAGCAAGCAAGAAAACUGGCAAAGGAAAACGGCAAAAGGCAAAUGAAAACGACAAAGGAGAAAGGCAAAUGAAAAGGGCAAAUGUGAAGUGGGGGAGAGGAAAACGAGAGGCAACUAGAAAAAAAGGUAAAUGCAAGAGAUGAGUUUGUGACACUUACUUGGAUAGAUCUUGACUUGAUCUCUCCUCCCUGGCAAUGGCGCCAGAAAUCCUUCUGCUGCUGGCUACGUCAAUAGGGAUUUCCUUGGCAAAUAUGCAAUGGAUUCCCCCGCGUCCUUGGAGCCUUGCAUUGGUGUUCCCUUGAAGAGGAAAGGGUGAUGUAGCACAGCGGCGGUAAGUAUUUCCCUCAGUUUGAGAACCAAGGUAUCAAUCCAGUAGGAGGAUCGCGUCAAGUCACAAGUACCUGCACAAACACAAAGAGCUUUCACCCAACGCUAUGAAGGGGUUGUCAAUCCCUUAUAGAUUGUUUGCAAAGUGAGAACUGAAAGCAAACAAGUAAACAAAGCAAAGUAAAAGUAAAAGCGGAGAUGAUAGUUGUGAAUAGACCCGGGGGCCAUAGUGUUCACUAGUGGCUUCUCUCAUGAAAGCAAGUAGAUGGUGGGUGAACGAAUUACUGUCGAGCAAUUGAUAGAACCGCACAAAGUCAUGACGUUAUCUAUGGCAAUGAUCAUACAUAUAGGCAUCACGUCCAAAACAAGUAGACCGAUACUNNNNNNNNNNNNNNNNNNNNNNNNNNNNNNNNNNNNNNNNNNNNNNNNNNNNNNNNNNNNNNNNNNNNNNNNNNNNNNNNNNNNNNNNNNNNNNNNNNNNNNNNNNNNNNNNNNNNNNNNNNNNNNNNNNNNNNNNNNNNNNNNNNNNNNNNNNNNNNNNNNNNNNNNNNNNNNNNNNNUAUUGAGUUCAUAAGAACAGAGUAACGCCUUAAGCAAGAUGACAUGAUGUAGAUGGACAAUCACAAAUCGAUGAUGAAAGCCCAUCUUGUUACUUGCGUGCCUUGUUGCCCUUCCGUCACUGGGAAAGGUCACCGCACGGUAUGAACCCAAAACCAAGCACUUCUCCCAUUGCAAAAAUCAUAGAUCUAGUUGGCCAAACAAAACCCAAGACUCGGAGAGACUUACAAGGAUAUCAAAUCAUGCAUAUAAGAAAUCAGCAAAGACUCAAAUAUAAUGCAUAGAUAAUCUGAUCACAAAUCCACAAUUCAUCGGAUCUCGACAGACACACCGCCAAAAAGGAUUACAUCGGAUAGAUCUCCAUGAAGAUCGUGGAGAACUUUGAAUUGAAGAUCCAAGAGAGAGAAGAAGCCAUCUAGCUACUAACUACGGACCCGUAGGUCUGAAGUAGACUACUCACGAGUCAUUGGAGAGGCAAUGAUGUUGAUGUAGAAGCCCUCCAGCUCCAAAGUCCCAUCCGGCAGGGCACCGGGAAGGGUCUCCAGAUGAGAUCUCGCGGAAACGGAAGCUUGCGGCGGCGGAAAAGUGGUUUCGUGAACGCCCUGAUUUUUUCUGGGAUUUUAGGGAAUAUAUAGGCCAAAGAGCUAGGGCAGGGGAGCUCCAAGUAGGCCACAAGCCUGGUGGCCGCGGGCCCCCCUGGCCGCGGCUACAUGGCUUGUGGGAUCCUUGUGGGCCUCCUGCCUUGGCCCUCAAGUACCCCGAUCUUCUUCUGUUCUGGAAAAAUUUAUUUCGGGGAUUUUAUUCCUUUUGGACUCCGUUCCAAAACCAGAUCUGAAAACAGUCAAAAACACAAAAAAACAGGAACUGUCACUUGGUACUGAAUUAAUAAGUUAGUCCAAAAAAAGUAUAAAAGGUAUAUAAAACAUCCAAAGUUGACAAGAUAACAACAUGAAACCAUAAAAAAUUAUAGAUACGUUUGAGACGUAUCAGCUAGCUGCAUUGAUUAGUCUACCAUGCAGUCAUACACUUGAUGUACCGAUCUUAAAUUCACCACAUGUCAUUACUAUGAUAUUUGUUCGAUGUGUUUCUGACCUUUGCCGAAGUUUGUCCUGUUUCAGAGUAUUAUAUGAUGAUUUUUCAUUUUUUGUGUUCUAAAAUGUACUGAAUAUUUUUUUGUGCGAUAACAAAACUACUCGGAAACAAGUGUACCCUUCAACAAAACAUCCGGGCAUCUCCAAUGCGGACCAUCAGACCGCCCACAACCGUCUGGACCGCACGGUCCAGAUCCGUUUUGGCAUCCAACGCGGUCCUGCAUUUGUUCGCUCAGCUGCCGGGAUGUGCUUCUCCAACCCCAUGUGCAUGGGGUGUCACAACUAGUGCCAAGGGUUGGGUUGGUCUUUUCUUUUUAUCAUUCACUCUUUUUGGGCAAAAUAAAUCUCAUAUUUUUCAUCAGUGAUCACUUUAGACUGACCUUACAUUCGCACCAUAGGUGAUGCAUGGAAACAUAACAUGGGUGGCACGCACUAGACAGGCAACUUAACUUACAUCUGACAAGGGAUUGGGUAGGUGAGCCAACCUCAUACAUGUGCUGCUAAAUGUACCCUUUACUCCACAACUAAAACAGUGCAUAGCCUUCUCUCCUCCUCCUGGUUUCCGCGUUCAUGUUAAACCAUUGCAAGAGUCAUGAAAAUGCAGAAGAUAUGCAAGUAUUGUUUCAGCCCUUCAAGUUAGGUUGAGAACAUGGAAAGAGAGCUACUUCUCAGUAAUGGAGGAGGCCAUAGGAUACCAAUCCGUAGGCUUGGGAGGCAUUAGGAUGAGUGUUUCUAGUACGACGCGGAAUCACAGUUGCUUUAUUCAUAUGGAAAUCACCACGAUUCUCACAACGACGGAGGCAGAAUAUUUUUUAUGGUAUGGCCAAUGCAAUUUGCCAUGCAUAUAGCAACACCAAGUUUUAAAAUUUCUCUAACACCAACGUGCAUAUAGCCUGAAUAUGAAAUUUUUUAGGUGUCUGUGUGAUGGAGGUCUAACCUUAUCUGAUUGCUGCCUCUGCCACUAGAUUCUUAUGGACACAUUGGACGCUUGCUCGUCCGCACAACCUGGCUUCUCCACUGCCUGGCACGUCCAUGUUCUUACUCGCGCAACGACUUGACUGCAUGUAUUUCAAGAUUAUUUCCAACAAACAUAGCAUGCUCGAUGCGAAUACCAAUUUGUGCCUCUGACGUUACUACUUUUCUAGUAGAUUGUCUUACGUACCCACCUUGGGCUCACCGAGGUCAUUUUCCCCUCUCAAACAUCUGGUUAAUGCGGUGACAUACUAGUUACCGCUGCCGUGAGACUAGAGGCCAAUCGUGCAGAUCUCGUCCACUAUACGCAUGUCAAUGUGUUGCGGUACCAGAUCAAGCCAUGGCCGCCAGGCUGGUAGAUAUAAUACUCUCGGAACGACCUUCUUAUCAUUAGUAGAGAGAUACUAAGGAGGACGAGCUGGCCCUGGGUGGUGAUGAUGAGGGGGUUCUCGUAGAAAUAGGUGUCGGUGGAUGAUACGUCUCCAACGUAUCUAUAAUUUUUGAUUGUUCCAUGCUAUUAUAUUAUCAACUUGGGAUGUCUUAUAUGUCAUUUUAUAUCAUUUUUGGGAUUAACCUAUUAACUCAGUGCCUAGUGUCAGUUUCUGUUUUUUCCGUGUUUUUGACCUUUUUCAGAAAAGAAUAUUAGACGGAGUCCAAACGUAAUAAAACCUGCGGGAUGAUUUUUUCCAUAACAGAAGAUACCUAGAAGACUUGAGAACCAAGGCAGGAGGUCUCGUGGGAGGUCACGAGCCCCCUAGGAGCACCCGAGGGGGACGCCUAAAUAGCAGGCUCGUGGGCCCCCUUGUCUCCAUUGCCCUACCUCUUUCGCCUAUAAAUUCCCAAAAAUCCCGAAACCAAUAGAGAGAGCCACGAAAAUACUUUUCCGCUGCCGCAAGCUUUUGUCUGAACGAGAUACCAUCUGGGGACCGUUCUGGUGCCCUGCCGGAGGGGGAUUCGGACAUGGAGGGCUUCUUCCACUACAAGAAAUAUGUCAACUAACGACCUUUUUGUCACAUCCCUAACCCUUAAGCAAGAUAGCAUUGUGCAUGUCUUCUUUGCAUUUGCAUCCCAGAAGUUUCAACAAAAACAACAAAGUGGCAAAGGAAAAACUCAAAAACCCUAGCCACCAUUUCAACUAAAGGAAAUUUCAACCUAGUUCAAAUCAAUGAACCCAAAAUGGCCUCAAGAAAUGUUCAAACUUUCUGAUAAAUCAUGAAAGUAAAUGAGCAUUAGAGAAAACUAUUUUCUUGACACUUUAAGCAUUUUAAAUAAAUGCAAAAGCCACUGGUUUCAAAUUUAAAAAUUUGAAAUCAGAAACUAUAAUUUUCCAAAAAUGUUGAAAGUCUUGGAAAUGAGUGGGGAUAUUAUAAUAAAUAUUUCACGGGGUCUAAAAUAGUUUUUACUUCUUGUUUUGGAGCUGAAAUAAUUAGCAAAGCAAUAAAUAGAAAAACAGAAAAAACCAAAAAAGAGAAAAUGGGAAAAGCUUACCUGUCGCCCAAGCCAGGCCCGGCCCAUCUCGCCGCUCGUCCCCUUCCCCGCGCCAGUAGGCAGCAGGAGGUGGCCGCCGCCUCCUCCGGCGCGGCCACGCACCUGCGUGCCUGCCUGGCCGCCGGUUCGCGCUGGCGACGACGGGGAUAAGCUCCCCAGAGCCUCCCCUAUCCAUUCCCCGCCUCGGUUCUCCUCCUCCGCCCGGAUCUCCUCCCCCUCCUUGCUGCCGCCAUUAGAGCCGAGCUCGAGCUCGAGCUGGCCGUGCCCCUGGCCAUAGGAUCCCCUCCGCGAGCACGCCAUUAGCUCCGCCUCGUCGCCCUGGUCAUUCCUGCAGAAGCCGAAGCUUCCUCGCGCCCUGCAACGCCCGCAACGCCGUCGUCUUCUUCCUCCGGCCGCCGGACCUCUCCCGUCGAUUCGUCGCCCCCAGGCCUUCCCCGAGCCGUCUGAGCUCUUCUCUGCACUCCCUGUGAGCAUGCGGUGGUUUUCCCUAAGUUUUCCCCGUCGAUCCCCUCCUCUAGCCCUAGUUUCACCGGAGCCCGACGAGCACCGCCGCUGCCGCUCGUCGCUGGUAGCCCUCCGAUGUCCAGCUCGUCCUCCCGAGAGCACCAGAAGCUCCAGGACGACGCGUAGAUGCCAUAGCAGCUAAGAACUAAGCGCGGAUCCCCCUGUUUCAAAGUCCUCGACGACGCCCGAGCUUCGGCCGCCGCUCCGCCUCGUCGCCGACGCCUCUUCUGGCGACCCUAGCCUCCCCAGUUGGUCCUGCCAGAUCGGCCACUUCGCGAGCUUGCUGUAGCUGCCAACCGCGUGCGUUUUCGUGUUGUGCAGCGCCGUCUAGGUCGCCUCCGGCGAGCCCUCCGCCGCGGGUUUGGUCGCCGGCGACCACCCUCCGGUGGCCGCCGACGUGGCCGACCAUUNNNNNNNNNNNNNNNNNNNNNNNNNNNNNNNNNNNNNNNNNNNNNNNNNNNNNNNNNNNNNNNNNNNNNNNNNNNNNNNNNNNNNNNNNNNNNNNNNNNNNNNNNNNNNNNNNNNNNNNNNNNNNNNNNNNNNNNNNNNNNNNNNNNNNNNNNNNNNNNNNNNNNNNNNNNNNNNNNNNNNNNNNNNNNNNNNNNNNNNNNNNNNNNNNNNNNNNNNNNNNNNNNNNNNNNNNNNNNNNNNNNNNNNNNNNNNNNNNNNNNNNNNNNNNNNNNNNNNNNNNNNNNNNNNNNNNNNNNNNAGCCUGAUGCAAUAAAUGGAAUUUCCAGUAUAAAAAUAAUUCAGGAAAUUGCUAAAAAUUGCAAAAAUCAUAGAAAUUAAUCUGUAACUCCAAUGAAAAUAAUUUAUAUAUGAAAAAGUAUCAGAAAAUUCAAGGAUUCUGAUUAUGCUAUUUUCAGCUAUGUUUGAAAAAGUUAGAGAACCCUAAAUUGUGAAAUAAGGAAUAAUUCAAUUCUUUUAAUCACUUUAUAAAUGGAAUUUGCAAAAAUAUCCAAAUUUCAUUAUAAAUGCAAUGAUCACACACUGCCCUAGAUAUAAAUCAGUACCAUAACAUGACAUUUCAUGCAUCUUAACAUUAAGUUGAUCUGAGCAUCAGGUCGAAUCAAUUAAACCGGUAUCCGAGAAUACCCGUUUGAAUUGCUAUUCGAGUGUGACUCAAAUCAACUCUAAACCUAAAACAUCUUGAUUAUAAUAACUUAUCACUUUGCAUUCUCAUGCCAUGCUCAUGCAUCAUUUUGAUUGCAUAUGAUUGUUAUUGAAUGUUGCCAUUCAUUUCGGUAGGCCCCGCACCCCCGGAUUCCACCGAAUAUCCGUCUGACGGAUAUCGUUCCUCCUCUUAGCAACAAGGCAAGCAACCCUUUUGAUCAUCCCAAUAACACCUAUGUUCUUGCUCCUGCACCUAUUUAUUACAUUAGGAUCAAAUGCUUCAACUGCUUUUGCCACGAUAGUUGGACCCACUUCCUUUGCAUGACUUAACCUUGUCACAGUAAAUAGCCGAACCUUGCAACCUAGCAUACCUGGUAGUUGCUUGAGCUAUAAUGUGCCUUAUCCUGCUAUGCAUGCUAUGCUUAGAGUUGUGUAUGGUCUGUCAUCUGGGAGAUGAGCAGAAAUGUGGAAUGUGUUCGGUGAGCAAAGGUUGUGUGUUGAACUUGAUUUGGUAAAGGUACCGGUGAAAGGCUGUGUAGGAGUACAUGGNNNNNNNNNNNNNNNNNNNNNNNNNNNNNNNNNNNNNNNNNNNNNNNNNNNNNNNNNNNNNNNNNNNNNNNNNNNNNNNNNNNNNNNNNNNNNNNNNNNNNNNNNNNNNNNNNNNNNNNNNNNNNNNNNNNNNNNNNNNNNNNNNNNNNNNNNNNNNNNNNNNNNNNNNNNNNNNNNNNNNNNNNNNNNNNNNNNNNNNNNNNNNNNNNNNNNNNNNNNNNNNNNNNNNNNNNNNNNNNNNNNNNNNNNNNNNNNNNNNNNNNNNNNNNNNNNNGUUUCUGGUGUUUAUAGUAAUGUUGGAGGCCGUGCAUGGUGCUGACCUGAGAGGUGGACCGUGAUGCGGUAGGCAGUGGCACGGUGUACCAAGUGGCACCCGGAUGGUGGGAUUGGGAACCCUGCGCACAUCGUUUGAGGCCGUGACGGAAACCUCGGCCGGACUUCCGUACGGGUUACUCUCAGAUAGGCGAUAAACCUGGACUAGGUACUAGUGUGGUUAACGGUCGUGGCCGACUCCCUCGCUGGGCUUCCGCUUGAAGGUUGCCGAGGUGCAUGACGUGCACAUGGCGAUAAGUGGCGGGAGCGUGUGUGACGAAGUACACCCCUGCAGGGUUAUGAUCUAUUCGAAUAGCCGCGUCCGCGGAUAUGGACUACUUGGAGACAUAUGUUGUUCAUAGAUAACUUCAACGGCUACUCAUAAAAUUGUCAAGAUAAGCAUGAGUGUCGUGGACGGCAUUUUCGUAUGGAGACGGAAUGAUUCCACGAUAGUGUAUUGUUGUGGUGUUAGUGGACUCGUGUGCGAGAAAUCAAGUUGUCAAAACUAAUUUAAAAAAGCAAGUUGUCUAGCCGCGAGUCAAAUGCUGGCUUUCCGCAUGAAACCCCACAAUACCUUCUUGAUACCUUGCAUGAGUAGUUAGUCAUCCUAAAGUCUUGCUGAGUACCUUCGUACUCAUGUUUGCUUAAUAAAUGUUGUAGAGGUUGCUAAUGACCCUAAUGGAGGGUUCUUCGUAGACAUCGACGACGACGAGUAGCUGGUGUCCCAGCUACGAUCUGGCCCUACGUCGGCUCUGUAGUAUAGUCAGGCCAUGUGCCUUCUAGUUGCUCUGUCUGUACCCAGACAGUUUAUAACUCUUCCGCUGGCUUGUAUUGUAUGACUGCUAUUAUGGGUCGUGAGACCCUUAAUGUGUAAUAAUAUGUGUGUGGCUCUUCCGAGCCUCUUAAAUAAAGCCUGUAUGUUUAUGGUUAUGUUGUGAUGCCAUCGAUGUAUCUAUACAUAUUGGUAUGCCAUGCGUACGUGUGUCUUACUUGAUAUGUAUGGGGUUCGAAUACCUAGUCGUGAACUUUAGUAGCACUCCUUACAAGGAAAUGCCCCUUUGUGAUCCAACGAGCCUUGGUAGUUCGCUACUGCUCCGGAUACAUUGGUUGACCGGCAUGUGUCCUUCUUAGCUGCUGUGUCUGUCCCCUUUGGGGAAAUGUCACGCGACGUAAUGGAGUCCUUGUAGCUUGCUACGACUCGUCUACGUUCGUUGAUGACCGACACCUGCUUUGUUGGGUCAUGUAUGCCUGUCCUUGUGCGGAACUGCCACUUUGGUUUAUGACUAGACAUGUCGAUCCGGGUUCUUUGACAUUGGAAUGCUAGCGACACUAUCGCAUACGUGGGUCAAAAGACGCAAACGGUCCCGGCUAAGGUAAGGCUGCAGCCGUGGAGUUAACCGUGCGUGAGACCACAAAGGGAUGCGAUGUGUUACAGGCUGGAUUCCUAUGGCUUAGGAUCGGGGUCCCGACACUUUUGUCAGUGACGCUCGAAGGAAUGGUCAUAAAUCUAUGACCAUUUGACAUCAUUUGGUCGUAAGUUGUCUGGAGGGGUCCUAGCCCCAAAAACCAACGACCAUUUUCAUCAGAAAGGUCAUCACUUGCUUACUGGAAAAGGUCAUAAAGCGGACAGCACCUGGCACUGCCUUAUUUCUAGGUGAUAAUGACCAAUAUGAAUGGUCGUUAGUAGGCUGGUGACCAGCGGUGGUGGUGCUGACGCCACGACCACCUCACCCAUCGGUAGUUGUUGCUGUUGCUGUUGCUAUCUACAUCAGAGAGCUGAAUUGAGAUGUUGCCUUUUGCUAACCAGUCGACCAUAAGAUCCUGCCAUAACAUUAAUGAAGCAAAAUAGAAGCAGCAAAAUAGAAGAAGCCAUAGCAUCCUACCACCAUAACAUCAAAAGUAUAAUACAUUCCAACACAGUUCACAACAACCUGCCGAUAACAGAGUGCGCAAAAGUACAAUAGUUCACAAGGACAUUAAACCGAUGAUCAUGGAGGGUGACUAAAUGGGACCUAGAGCCUUCAGGAGGGCUGCAUGCUCUGCCCUGGUCUUGAUGUCUUGAUCAGCACUCCGCGGUAAACCGCGUGCAUGCGAAAUUAGGUGUUCAUAAAUCCCAUCCCUGGGCUUGGGCUUUGUGGUGUAGUAUGGGCAUCUGAACAUUCCCCUCCUGAAGUAGGCCGCCGUCCCCUUCUCCCUGAUCUUCUGGGCUUCCUUCUCAAUGAAGGACUCUUUGUUGCCGUCCUCCACGUCAUCUCCAGAGUUAUACUACACACACAAAUUAAUUGUGCACACAUUAUUCAUUCAUAUAGGCAUUAUGGAGCCAGAACACACACUUCUAAUUCAGAAUGAUGCAAUGAAGAAACAUCAGAUAAUUCCCAUUUACCAAAUUUUAAUGAACAAACAAAGAAAAAAGUCAUGUAUAGUAAUCUAAUUAAACAAACAACAUUAAAACACUCUCUACAUCAAUUUCAUUAAAAAGCCCACCAACAUGCAUUCAUAUAGUGCUUAAGCUGAACUAAAAUAGUUGGGAUUACCUCAUACGGUUCGUCGUCGUCGUAGUCAGAGUCAUACGGGCUCUUGAACCCAGUCUUGGCGAGCUUCCUCUUCAUGCAUGCAACUUCCUUUUCCUGCAAUAUAAGUAAUUCGAUUAGUACAAACUAUGUAACAUAGUAUUCAAAAGGUCAAGCAUUCAACAAUGUGCUUCUAAUUACAUUCAUAGUGUUGCUGCAUCAGCCACCCUAUUCUCUGCACUGGGUCUGUCCUUUGUGCAUUUCACUUAUACAAUCUUUCGAUCCUUCAUACAAAGAUUUAAAUGUCCUUUCAAAAAAUCAAACUGUACACUAUAACUAUAUGUUAUGUAUACACUUCUUUUGUCAGGACAUGUGCUGGAUGUCACAAUGAAAUUGGCCAUGGACGUAAUCAGCCAAUAUAUGACUAUACUAUAACUAUAUGCUUGUAAUCAGCCAAUAUAUGACUAUGAGGUAGCUCUUUGUUGUUUUGUGUACUAAUUAAGCAGUUGCAUUGGUAUUGACUUUACCAACAAAAACAUGCGGUUCUCCAUGUCAGGACACCAUCCAUACCAUAAAACUUGUUACAAGGAGCGCUUUCAUCCAAAAUGUGAUGUCUGCAAGCAAUUUGUAAGUAUCACUUCAUUAUCUUUUCUUAUCUGUUUGCAUAAGACGAUUCUCUCUAUUGUGCAUUUUAUAUAGCAGAACAUUGCACUAUUGGGCUGCUCAGCCCCUGCCGUGCCCCGGUGAGGGGAUAACCACAACAAAUCUAUCAACAUAUCCAGCACAUAAUAAAAUCUAAGCACAUGCAGCAAUCAAGAUCCCAAUUCAAAACCUAACUCUUAUUAAAUCCUUACUAAUAAUCCCAGUAAAAUGCAAGAGAGGGGGCUGACCUAGGCGAAAGUUAGGAAUGGGUGUUCGUAUAUAUCAAGCACGUGACGUAGGUGAAAUCUUUACUAAUAAGAGAAAGAUUCCGUUUAUUCAAACCAACAAAAUGCAAAAGUUUUCCAACACAUGCAAAAGCAGAGUGUGUUCUGCUCUCUAAAUAUAUGAAAGCAGAAAACCCUAUCUAAAUAAUCUCCUGCUUAUCAACGAUAACUAUGAAAGCAGGGGAACGGGAAGCAUUACCACAUCCACAUGCACAAAUCAAGAUUGAAAUUAAAGAAAUCCAAGUCUCAAUAUAUAAAUCUAUGUAGCAUUCAAGCACGAAUCAACUAUAAAAACCCAGAAAACCCUAUCUAAAAAACCCACCUCAUCGUCGGCAGCACCGCUUGAGGUCGUGUCCUCCUCCUUCGGCACCUCCGCAGCGGCGACAACGGUUGCGGUCGUGUCCUCCUGCUUCGACACAGGCACCUCCUUCUCUUCCGCAGUGACGGUGACAGCGGUUGCGGUCGUGUCGACCUCCUGCUGCUUCGGCACCUCAAGCAGAUCCGCAACGGCGACGGCGGGACGAGCGCCCUCCGUUGGGAGACAAGGCCACGAGGGAGACGGUGCGACGAGGGAGACGAGGGAGACGAAAUGGGAGACGAGGCGACUAAGUGGGAGAUGAGGGAGACAGGGCGACGAGGGAGACGAAGUGGUAGUUCCCUCUUUAUACGAUGUGACUAUUCCUGCAAUGUCCCGUCCGCCACGUGCCGUCUAGGACAUCUUAUAAAAAAAUAAAUGGCAUAGACACCUUAAAAAAAAUGGCCCGCUCGAACCUGGACGGCACGAACAUGUUCGGUCGGUCUUUGUGUCUCGCUCGAACCUGGUCGACCGAGCCAGUCUACUCUGCUCACGCUCUGCCCCCCUCGUCGUCGAAGCUCCUCGGCCGCCACCACCUCCGCCACGCCAUGGUUUACGAGGAUGAGAGUAGCAACGACCUAUUGAGCCUGGACAUCAGCUCUUCCUCGGACGGCAUGAUGUACCAGGUAAUUUAUAGAGCUAGGGUUAGGUUUAGGGUUUCAGUUUCUUCACAUUGGGGAUUUAUCUCUGUUUCUUCGUUCUUCUUUAGAUCCCUGCUAGCAUCGACGACAAAGACUACAUGGGCAUCGAGAAUUCUGCCCUGGAUGUUUGCUUGGAGCAUGGGCUGCCGCCUGAGCGUCGCGUAGCAUUCGAAGGAUUUGAGACAGGGAGAAGAUUUUUAGUGUGUGCUCAGCCGGUUAGUUCUAUCUUCUUUAGUGUUAGACAUGCAUAAAGUUGCUUCUGUUUUUUCUAUCUGGCUCAAAAGAUUCAAACUGUCAGUGUUUACUACAUCACUGUCAUUGUUUGUUUAGCUCAAAUAUUCAGACUGUCGGUGUUUACUACAUCACUCUCAUUGUUUGUUUAGCUCAAAUAUUCAGACUGUCAUUGUUUAUUACAACACUGUCAUUGCUAGUUUAGCUAAAAGAUUCUGGCUUGUUACAACACUGUCAUUGCUUAUUUAUUAUAGCAAUGUCGUUGCAUGUUUAUUACAGAAUUCUGGCUUGUUAUUUUCUGGUUAUUUUGUAUUGCUGAAGUACUGGUUAUUUUGUAUUGCAGCCACCUCAAAACUGUGGUUUUGUUGGUUGGGUAGACCAAGAGUGGCCUCCCACAAUGCAAAAUGCAUUGUUAAAACUGUGGGAAAUGUUGGAAGACAGCAAGAGUGCUAGGAGAGAUGAUAAUUUGGAGAAUGCACUGAAAAUUCACCACCUCACAGAGGAGAAAAAAAAUCUUGAUGCAAACUAUGACAAACUAGUAGAAGAUGUGAAUCAAGUGCUCAACCUUGUAGAAGCUCAAGGCGGGGUCAUUAGGACCCAGAAGGCAAAUCAUUUGAAGGAGAAGGACAAACUUAAUGAUCAAAUUUUGGUGCUCAACUUUCACGUUGAUGGUCUGAAGAAAGGAAUUGAGAAUCUGAUUAAACGCAGGGAUGAGCUGAAGAUCCAGAUUGCUGAUCAGUUGAAGGCAUUGGAGAAGAACCAAGAGAAGUUGAAGAUGAUCAGGGACAUUUUGGAUGGAUGAGCUGAUCAGAUGAAGAUGAAGUCCACUAUGCUAUGGUUGAUGUGUUGUUCUGUUGCUGUGUUGCUCUUUUGUACCAAUGUUGUAAUGCAAGAUGAUCAGAAUAUCUAUAUUAUGUAUGAUUAAGUGACUCCACUAUGCUAUGUUCGUAACUGUACUAUGCUAUUGUUGGUGUGUUGCUUUUUUGUAGCAAUGUUGUAAUGCAAGAUGAGAAGAAUCUCUUAAUUAUGAUUAAGUGACUUUAUCUUUGUUCAACCCAAGUAUGUUGAUAGAUUGGUUGAUCUUACUUGUUGUAUCUUAAAAGAUGAGAAGAAUCUCUUAAUUAUAUAUGAUCUGAAGUAUCUAUUUAAUCAUAGAAACACCAAAAGGUUUCCAAGAUUCAACCACUAGGUAGGAAUGGUCAUGCCCGCCGUUACGACCGCAUUUUGAAAUGGCCAUGAAAAAUUCAAAAAAAAUAAAAAAGGGAAAGAUUUGCAUUAUGUCAUCAUAUGUGAUAAAGUUACCAUGUAAAAUAAUAAACUUGCAAUACGACAAUUAUUUUUAAAAAGUGUUCACACAAAUGAGCUAUCAUGUGUGAAGAUUCAUGGCUUUCAAGCCACAUGAUCAAUCUCAUGGCCAUAUUCAUGACAUAGUUUGUUGAAAUGGUCUCCUAUUUUGCAUAAUGGUGCAUGUUGGAGUGACAAACAAUGUUGAUUAAGGAAGUUUUCAUCUUCCUUGUAUGAAAAAUUCAUUUUUCAUUUUUGAAGUGCCCGAAAUGAGUUUUUUUGUGAAGGACCUACCAUAUAUUUGUUUCAAAAUUGGUCCAAAUCAUUUUUCUAACAUACUAGGCCAUAUUUAAUGUACAAUUGACAAAAUGGUUGGGUGUCAAAAGCUUUUAUGCAUCUCUCGUGAAAAAGACAAAUCUAUGUCGAAUCAGCUGGAAGCGGGUCAAAUUUGAACUGCGGCUGCCUUAUAGUUUGCUCUUUAUUUUUCCAAAAAUCAUUUCUAGGUACACAAGUAUCUAUUUAAUAAUAGAAACACCAAAAGGUUUCCAAAAUUCAACCACUAGGUAGGAACGGUCAUGCCCGCCGUUUCGACCGCAUUUUGAAACGGCCAUGAAAAAUUCAAAACAAUUCAAAAAAAUGGGAAACCUUUGCAUUAUGUUAUCAUAUGUGAUAAAGUUACCAUGUAAAAUAAUAAACUUGUAAUACGAUAAUUAUUUUUUAAAAGUGUUCACACAAAUGAGCUAUCAUGUGUGAAGAUUCAUGGCUUUCAAGCCACAUGAUCAAUCUCAUGGCCAUAUUCUUGACAUAGUUUGUUGAAAUGGUAUAAUAUUUUGCAUAAUGGUGCAUGUUGGAGUGACAAACAAUGUUGAUUCAGGAAGUUUUCAUCUUACUUGUAUGAAAAAUUCAUUUUUCAUUUUUGAAGUGCCCGAAAUGAGUUUUUUUGUGAAGGACCUACCAUAUAUUUGUUUCAAAAUUGGUCCAAAUCAUUUUUCUAACAUACUAGGACAUAUUUAAUGUACAAUUGACAAAAUGGUUGGGUGUCACAAGCUUUUGUCCAUCUCUCGUGAAAAAGACAAAUCUAUGUCGAAUCAGUUGGAAGCGGGUCAAAUUUGAACUGCGGCUGCCUUAUAGUUUGCUCUUUAUUUUUUUCAAAAAUCAUUUCUAGGUACACAAGUAUCUAUUUAAUCAUAUAAACACCAAAAGGUUUCCAAGAUUCAACCACUAGGUAGGAACGGUCAUGCCCGCCGUUUCGACCGCAUUUUGAAACGGCCAUGAAAAAUAAAAUAAAAAUAAAAAAAUGGGAAACCUUUGAAUUAUGUCAUCAUAUGUGAUAAAUUUACCAUGUAAAAUAGUAAACUUGUAAUACGAGAAUUAUUUUUAGAAAGUGUUCACACAAAUGAGCUAUCAUGUGUGAAGAUUUAUGGCUUUCAAGCCACAUGAUCAAUCUCAUGGCCAUAUUCAUGGCAUAGUUUGUUGAAAUGGUCUCAUAUUUUUCAUAAUGGUGCAUGUUGGAGUGACAAACAAUGUUGAUUAAGGAAGUUUUCAUCUUCCUUGUAUGAAAAAUUCAUUUUUCAUUUUUGAAGUGCCCGAAAUGAGUUUUUUUGUGAAGGACCUACCAUAUAUUUGUUUCAAAAUUGGUCCAAAUCAUUUUUCUAACAUACUAGGACAUAUUUAAUGUACAAUUGACAAAAUGGUUGGGUGUCAAAAGCUUUUAUCCAUCUUUCGUGAAAAAGACAAAUCUAUGUCUAAUCAGUUGGAAGCGGGUCAAAUUUAAACUGCGGCUGCCUUAUAGUUUGCUCUUUAUUUUUUCCAAAAAUCAUUUCUAGGUACACAAGUAUCUAUUUAAUCAUAGAAACACCAAAAGGUUUCCAAGAUUCAACCACUAGGUAGGAACGGUCAUGCCCACCGUUUCGACCGCAUUUUGUAACGGCCAUGAAAAUUUCAAAAAAAAAAAUCAAAAAAAUGGGAAACCUUCGUGUCGCAUCAUAACAUGUGACCUGCCAACUAGAAAAGAUAUAUAAAUUUGGGUACCGAUGUCUUAUUGAACUGAUCGGUAUGAUUUUAGCCAUUAUUUCUACAAUGUUUAUAAAAAAGAAAAAUAAAAAGUCUGCCUCCAAACCUCAAUAAACUAGUGAAAAUUUUCCCUUCCACCCCACCAAAUUUUCCCUCCCACCCCACCAAAAUUUCCCUCCACUCCCUCUCCCACUACCACGCGGGACCCACCACUCCCUCUCCCACUACCACGUGGGACCCACCACUCCCUCUCCCACUCCCCUCUCCAUUCCACUCCCCACUACCCACGCGGGAUCCAUUCCACUCCCCACUCCGUCGCCCUUCCCCUGCUCCGCGCCGCCGCGCCGCCCCUCCUGUGCUCCGCGUCGCCCCUCCGCCCCUCUCCCCUCUCCCCGACGAUGACUACAUCGAUGAUGUCGAUGGCUACAUCUACAUCGACGACGACUACAUCGACGACGUCGACGGCUACAUCCACAUCGACGACGACGGCUACAUCUACAUCGACGUCGACGGCUACGACUACAUCGACGACGACAGCUGGUACAUCUACAUAAUCAAUAGUCGACGACGAUAGGUACCUCUCCCCUCGACCCAUCUCCCAUUGAUAGAUCCCCCUCAUGUGUUCUUCUAGGGUUUGGUAGAUCCCCCUCAUGUGUUCUUCUAGGGUUCAUGGGGCUGGAUCAAUUGGGAUGGUUCGGUACAUUCAUGGGGUUAGGGUUAGGGUUCAUGGUGUUAGGGUUAGAUUCAUGGGGUUAGGCUUGUAGUUGUCAUGGGGCUGGAUCAUGGGGUCCUGCGUUUGGGAUGGGUAACAAAUGGGGGUACAUCCCCCACCUGGUCGAUCUAGGGUUAGGAUUCAGUAAAUCUAGGAGCUCCUGGAGGUUCUUGUUCAUGUUCAUGGGAUUUAUUCCUAGUGGUUCGUUCUAUCCCUCUCUGGUUAAUUAGAGUUUCCAUCAGCAAUAUUUGCUUGUAUCAGUAGCACUUGGAGAAGAAGCUACUAGGGUUGGUAUCAAUAGUACUUGCUUACUUGCUCCUCUUCAAAUUUCUUCCUUGCUUGCUUGUUUGUAUCAGUAGCACUAUGCUUGUUUCUAUCAGUAGCACUUCUUUUGCUUGCUUGCUUGUAUUAGUAGCACUUAUGAACUUUGCUUGCUUGCUUGCUUGUAUUAGUAGCACUUAUGCACUUUGCUUGCUUGCUUGCACACUUCUUGCUUCUUUAUUCACCAAAUGUUGGGCAACCAGUUGCUAUGAAUGCAUAUGUUUUCCUCCAUUAGGGAUACAGUUGAGUAAUUACUUUGCUUAUAGAUGAUUGCAGGUACAUGGAUAAAAUUGCAAGUUAAAACAUAAAAGUAAUUGUUGUAAAUAGUUAAUGCAUUGCUUCACAUAUAUAGUUUUCUUCAACUAUCAGUUUAGUACAUUACUACCUCCUGUUUCACAUGUUUUAAUACUGAUGCAUUGCUACACUUGUAUGUGCAUGCUAGUCCAAGUGCUUCAAUUUAGUUGCUUGCUUCAACUGUCAGUUUAGUACUGAUGCAUUAACUGUAUGUGCAUUGCUACGCGUGUAUGUGCAUGCUGGUCCAAGUGUUUUACAUGUAUUAGUACUGAUGCAUUAACUACAUCACUAUAUUGUUGAUCCAACAAGUUUGCUAGCUUCACAUGUAUUACAUGUAUGUGCAUGCUUGUCUAAAUGCUUCCCUUUAUUGAUAUAAGUGCAUCAUUUUACUUUAUCCCUGUUGUAUCUAAUUGUUGUUUAUUCUAUUUUGCAAGCACCACCUCAAGAUCAUCCAUGUCAAGGAUGACAAGGUCAAACCCGAGGCCAACCAGUGGUAUGCAAGUUUCUCCUUGUGGUUAUACUGUCAGAUUUAUAAAAUGUGUCUUAAUAUGCUAAGUAAAAUAUCUUGGAGGCUGGUGAUGUAAAAAACUGUCAGAUUUUAUUAUGCCAAUGUAUUGCUGUAAUCUGAAUUAGCUGGCUUAGAUGUGCCUGUGUGCUGUUACUCUUCCUUAGCUGAAUAAGUAGGAUUAAAUGAUAAUAAAAUAUCAUAAGAUAUGUUUGGCUGUCUGUCCAUGCGUUCCAACAAUUAACCUAAUAAUUAUGUUUACUUUGCCUUGCAAAGAUGAGCAUCCUCUCACCGAGUAUGAGACGGUUAGGGCUAGAAAUAUGAUGAGGAACAAUCGGAUAUUCCAGUCCCUUUGCAUUGAUGCAAUAGCGUCAAUGAUUAGGAAAACAAAUGAUGUACAAGAAGGUACAACUAAUGGGGUUCAAUAAGGUAGUGGAGUUAUCAGUGUUGACCCAGAGUACAAUCCUAAGGAGGAUGAAGUUGUAGUGCACAAGACUGUUAAGGUGCAAACUCUGUCUUGCUUGGAGGGUUCGGGUUCUUGUAUGCUCUGUGUUUCCUUGUGCUCACAUAUUUAUCUUGUGAUCUAAUUUUUUUCUGUGCUAUUUAUACAAGGCACUGAAGACCGCCAGCAAGAAGAGGAAGAGCUCAGAAGCAUCUGCUGCAAUGCCUCCAGGAAGGGUGAUGGCCCCACCUCCAAGACGAACAAAGAGGAUCCUGGAACCUGAUGAACCUGAUAGAGUCACAAGGCAGAAAGCAACUAUGGCGGCUGCGAUGGACCAUCAGGAAAGUCUGCUGGGCAUGGACUUUGAGAGCUCGAUGGAAAUGCGUGAUGAGUUUUUGUGAAGCUGUGCACCUGUGAAGUUGUCAAUUAUUUAAGUCAUUGGUCAUUCUGGUGAUGAAACAAUGUCUUGCUCUAUUUGAACCUGAUGAAGUAUUUUGUGAAGUUGUCAAUUAUUUAAGUUUUGUUUGGACCAUUUUGUUUGGGCACUAAAUUUAGUUUGGACAGCAAAAAGGCCGAGGCCCAAACAAGAAAUAGACUAAGAAGGCUUGGGCCUAAAAAAAGAGUAGGCCAAGGCCCAAAUUAGAAUUUGUCUAAAAAGGCUUGGGCCUAAAAAAAUAGUAGGCCAAGGCCCAAACAAGAACUAGACUAAAAAGAGUAGUCCAAGGACCAAAAGAAAAGUGGACUAAUAAAAAACCUGCUCAGUAAAAGAUUCUAUCCCAGAAAAUAAAAGGCCAAAUUAUUGGGCCCGGCCCAUGUAGACGACCGAAUAGACCGGGCUGAAUCUUAUUUACGACCUUUUCAUUUGGUUAUAAUUCUGCCACGGUGGCUCUGACGUGGUGCGGGCAGAUUGCUAGUGACCAAAGCAUUUGGUCGUUAAACCUACGACCUUUUGUUUGCUCAUAAAAUCCUACGACCAAUCCAGAAAAAAGGUCGUUAUAGUUCAUUAAAGACCCUCAGCUUUAGACCUUUUAUUUUUGGUCAUGAAAAGGUCACAAAUGGAAAUCAAUGACCAUUCAGUGACCAAUAUUGAAGGUCGUUAGUUGACAUAUUUCUUGUAGUGUUCAUCAACACCAUUGCCUCUCUGAUGAUGCGUGAGUAGUUCACCUCAGACGUUCGAGUCCAUAGCUAGUAGCUAGAUGGCUUCUUCUCUCUCUUGGAUCUUCAAUACAAAGUUCUCCAUGAUCUUCAUGGAGAUCUAUCCUAUGUAACUUUCUUUUGCGGUGUGUUUGUCGAGAUCCAAUUAAUUGUGGAUUUAUGAUCAGAUUAUCUAUGAAUAUUAUUUGAUUCUGCUCUGAUUUGUUAUAUACUUGAUUUCGUAUCCUUGUAAUUCUUAUCGAGUUAUGGGUUUCAUUUGGCAAACUUGAUCUAUAAUUCUUGCAAUGGGGGAAGUGCUUGGUUUUGGGUUCAUACUGUGCGGUGUCCUCACCUAGUGACAAAAGGGGUAGCGAGGCACACAUCAUGUUGUUGCCAUCAAGGGUAAAAAGAUGGGGUGUAUAUCAUAUUGCAUGAAUUUAUCCCUCUACAUCAUGUCAUCUUGCUUAAGGCGUUACUCUGUUUGUUAUGAACUUAAUACACUAGAUGCAUGCUGGAUAGCGAUCGAUGUGUGGAGUAAUAGUAGUGGAUGCAGAAAAUAUCGGUCUACUUGUCUCGAACAUGAUGCAUAUAUGUAUGAUCAUUGCCUUAGAUAUCAUCAAGACUUUGUGCGAUUCUAUCAAUUGCUCGACAGUAAUUCGUUCACCCACCAUAAUACUUCCUAUCAUGAGAGAAGCCUCUAGUGAACACUAUGGCCCCCGGGUCUAUUUUACACAUUAUAUAUUCAGAUCUACAUACAAAAAUACCAAAAAUACCUUGUUGCACUUUUAUUUAUAUUUACCUUUUAUCACUAUUAGAUCUCACCUUGCAAGUAAUCGUGAAGGGAUUGACAACCCCUUUAUCACGUUGGGUGCAAGUUUGUGUGUUUUUGCGCACGUGAAUUGGUGCCUCAUCUUGAUACUCCUACUGGAUUGAUACAUUGGUUCUCAAACUGAGGGAAAUACUUAUCUCUACUUUGCUGCAUCGCCCUUUCCUCUUCAAGGGAAAAACCAACGCAAGCUCAAGAAGUAGCAGUGGACCAGGCGAGGACAUAUAGGAAACGCGUGGCACGCGAGCGACAAACAAGGUGGCCUGGUGGCCAUGGUGCGAUGGCCGUCAUGAGUGUCCGUGGAGUGGUAGUAGGCGGUAGUUGCUUUGGUAUCCUUCGUGAAGAAGGGCCCGAUGUCGAGGAGUUAACUCUCAGGGGUAUCGAGGGCGGCGGCGGCAGGCGGAUGGAAAGAUACUAGUGGAAUAUCACCACACUAUGAUCAUGAAACAGAUCCACCUCCAUCCUACCUAGCUAUGCAACUUCUUCUAGAUUGGAUUGACUAUCAGCACACCAUACAUAAGUUGCGAAAGGGCGGCGAGAUAAAAUAGAUUGGUCAGAUUUUUGUUUGAGGAAGAUUUUUAUUAAAUCGAAACUUGUAAGACGGUUGGGGGUCUUCAAGGUCCGGUAAAAAACUAUGUGAAAUACCCCUAAAUUAAUCGUGCAAUGACAUUUAAGCUAAAAUUGUGAAGACUGGCAGACUAAGGCAUAGCCUAAUGGUAGAAAUGGGCUGAUGCCUUCCCACCCACCCAGGUUCAAGGCAUGGUGCUUGUAAUUUAGGGUUGUUGCAUCAAUUAUACAGUAGGAGCCUCACUUAAUGUCUUGCUAUAAAAAAAAUAUGAAUACUACGGAUAGUUAACAAGCUGAGACUGCACAUACAUUCAUAGGACAAGUGAUGCUUGACAACAUAAGAUGGGCGUAGAUUUUCAUCUUAACUUUAAUAUAACAAGCUUUCUUUUAGCAAUUUUAAUCUAACAAGUUAUUGGGUGCAUGAGCCAAUUACGUACACAUGUCGCUCACCUGGCCCAGCCCAGCUCUCUCUCUGUCGUCUUCCUCCUCGUGAGUGGGCAGCAGGAGGUGGCCGCCGUGUACUCCGGCGCGGGCACGCACCUGUGCGCCAGCCUGGCCGCCGCUUCGCGCUGGCACGCGAGGGGAUAACCUCCCCGCAGCCUCUCCAUGCUUGCCCCUCUCCUCAUUCGCCCCCUCUUCCUCAUCCUUCUUUGCCGCCAUUAGAGCCGAGCCCGAGCUCGAGCUCACCGUCGUUCUAGCCCACCACUCCUCCUUCUGAGCCGUGCAACAGAUCCGCCGCAGCUCCCUGAAGCUCCCAAGCUACGAGCCCGACGCCAGGAUGCAGUGAAUCGACGAGACGCGGUCGUCUUCUUCCUUGGGUCGCCGAAGCUCGCCGCUGGCGUUCUCUCUCUAAAGGCCGUCCCCAAGCAAGCUAGCACUACCACUGCACUCCCCGUGAACCUAGCAAAAUUUCCCCCAAGUUUCCCCCUUCGAUCUCUUCCUCUAGCCUUGUUUUCACUGGAGCCCGACAAGAUCCGCCGCGGGAGCUCAUCGGCGGUAGCCCUCCGGUGAACGGCUCGUCCAUCUGAGGCCACCAGUGGCUUUAGGGCGUCGAGUAGGUACUGUAGGAGCUCACUCCCGUGCGUAACUCCCACUGUUCCGAAGAGCCCAGCGAUGCCCGAGCUUCGGCCGCCGCCAAGCUCGUCGCCGGUGCCCUCUCCGGCGAGUUCGUCCUCGGCUAAAUGCAAAAAUGGACCUGCGGGACGCGUGUCGUUCUUCCGGUGCACUCCGCGCAGAGUUUGGCCGCCUGUGCCGCGUUUCCGAGCCUCUCCGGCAUCCUGGAGGUCGCCGGAGGCUCACCGUCGGCGAGAACGACCUCGCCGCCGGUGGAUCUGACCCCCGUGAGUCUAUGACAGGUGGGGUUAGCCUCUGGUUAAUUAGUAAUAAUAAAAAUAAAAUUAACUUAAUUAAAUUAACCUAAGCAGUCACUGACAGGUGGGUCCUACCCUGAUAAUUAACUAAUUAACUUAAAUUUAAACUAAAAACUGGCCUGAGUCACUGACCAGUGGGUCCCACUGGUUUGGUUUGACUUUCAACGGCCAGUUGGACCUGCUGAUGUCAUGGUGAUGCAAUAAAGCUUUUUAUGUUUAAAAAUAAUUCCAGAAUAAGUUCAAAACUUUGGAAAUUCAUAAAAGUUUGAAUAUAACACCAAAUUGGACAAAUAAUAUAUGAAAAAUUAUCAGAAAAAUCCAAGGAAUCUGAAUAUGUCAUUUUCAAACAUGUUUGAAAAUGUUAACUUCACCAAACAUGCAAAAUGGUGAAUAGGUUAAAUUUCAUAAAUGCUUUGGAGUUGGAAUUUGAAAUUCAUUUGAAUUCCACUUCAAGUGCCAUGACCAAACAAUUCUCAAUCACAACCAGCAACUCAACAUAUCAUUCCCAUGCAUAUUAAAACAAGAUGACCUGAGCAUCAGGUCGAAUCAAUUAAAAGGGUAUUCGAAAAUACCUGGUUUGGAGUGAUAUUUGAAUCUUGAUUCAAAUCAACUUCAACUUAAUAAAUGGUACCUACAUUAGCCUACCACCUUUCAUCUUCAUGCCAUGCUCAUGCAUCAUCUUAUUGCAUAUGAUUGAUAAUGAUUGAUGUCAUUUCUAUCGGUAGGCUCCGCUCCUCCGGAUUCCACCGAAUAUCCGACUGACGGAUAUUGUCCCUCUGCUGAGCAACAAGGCAAGCAACCAUUUUGAUCAUCCCGAUAAAUCCCAUGUGCUCACUCCUGCACUUACUUAUUGCAUUAGGAUCAAAUGCUUCAAAUGCUUUUGCCACGUUAGUUGAACUCACUUCCUUUGCAUGACCUGUCUUUGUCACAUUAAAUAGCUGAACCUUGCAACCUAGAAUACCUGGUAGAUGCUUGAGCCAUGAUGUGCCUUAUCCUGCUAUGCAUGCUAUGCUUAGAGUUGUGUAUGGUUUGUCAUCUGGGUGAUGAAAAGAAUUGUGAGAAUGCGUUCAGUAAGUAAAGGUUGUGUGUUAAACCUGAUUUGGUAAAGGUACCGGUGAAAGGCUAUGUAGGAGUACAUGGCGGGUUGUUUCAUUGGAACCGUCCUUAGGAACUGAGUUCCGUGUAUGUAAUCCAAGACGAGAUACUACCACAUGCUGGGCCCUGAAAUAUGUACCCGCUCGACUUAUUAACCGCUUAGUACUCGGUCCAGGAGUUGCAAUUAGUUUAUGGUGUUUAUAGUCAUGCUGGAGGCCGUGCAUAGCGCUGACCUAAGAGGUGGGCUGUGAUGCGGUAGGCAGUGGCACGGUGUACCAAGUGGCACCCAUAUGGUGGGCUUGGGAACCCUGUGCACAUCAUUUGGGGCCGUGGCGGAAACCUCGGCCGGACUUCCAUGCGGGUUACCCUCAGAUAGGCGAUAGACCUGGACUAAGUAUUAUCGUGGUUAACGGUCGUGGCCGACUCCCUCGCUGGGCUUCCGCUUGAAGGUUGCCGAGGUGCAUGACGUGCACAUGGCGAUAAGUGGCGAGAGCGUGUGUGAAGAAGUACACCCCUGCAGGGUUAUGAUCUAUUCAAAUAGCCGCGUCCACGGAUAUGGACUACUUGGAAGCAUAUGUUGUUCAUAGAUAACUUUAAUGGCUACUCAUAAAAUUGUCAAGAUAAGCGUGACUAUCGUGGACGGCAUUUCCAUAUGGAGACGGAAUAAUUCCACGAUGGAGUAUUGUUUUGGUGUUAGUGGACUCGUGUACGAGAAAUCAAGUUGUCAAAAUUAUUUAAAAAUGCAAGUUGUCUAGCCACGAGUCAAAUGCUGGCUUUCCGCAUGAAACUCCACAAUUCCUUAUUGAUACAUUGCAUGAGUAGAUAGCUUAUCCUAAAGUCUUGCUGAGUACUUUUGUACUCAUGUUUGCUUAAUAAAUUGUCGCAAAGGUUGUUAAUGACCCUAAUGGAGGGUUCUACCUAGACAUCGACGACGACGAGUAGCUGGUAUCCCAGCUACGAUCUGGCCCUAGGAUGGGUCUGUAGAUAGUCAGGCCAUGUGCCUUUGUCAUUCCUUCUGUCUGUAAUCAGACAGCUUUACUCUUCCGCUGGUUUGUAAGAAUUGUAUGUAUGACUUGUGAUGAUGGGUCGUGAGACCCCUACCUUGUAAUAUUAUGUGUGUGGCUCUUCCGAGCCUUCUAAAUAAAGUUUGUAUGUUUAUGGUUAUGUUGUGAUGCCAUCGAUGUAUCUAUACUUAUCGGUAUGCCAUGCGUACAUGUGUUGUACUUGACAUGUAUAGGGUUCGAUUACCUAGCCGUAGGCUUUAGUAGCAUUCCUUACAGCGAAAUGCCCCUUUCUGAUCCAACGACCCAUGGUAGUUCGCUACUACUCCGGACACACUGGUUGACCGACAUGUGUCCUUCUUAGCUGAUGUGUCUGUCCCCGUUGGGGAAAUGUCAUGUGAUGUAAUGGAGUCCUUGUAGCUUGCUACGACUCGUCUACAUUCACUGGUGACCGGCACCUACUUUGCUGGGUCAUGUAUGCCUGUCCCUGUGCGGAACUGCCACGUUGGUUUAUGACUAGACAUGUCGAUCUGGGUUCUUUGUCAUUGGAUUGCUAGAGAUACAAUUGCAUACGCGAGUCAAAAGGCGCAAACGGUUCCGGCUAAGGUAAGGCUGCAGCCGUGGGGAUAACCGUGCAUGAGACCGCAAAGAGAUGCGAUCUUAUACAGGCUGGAUUCCUAUGGCCUAGGAUCGGGGUCCCGACAUCGUUGGUAUCAGAGCCUGACUGACUAUAGGAUUACUAAGCCAAACUGGUCGAAGUUGAGUCUAGAAUUUCUUUAGUUAUAUUUAAGGGAAUUGUUUGUGGAAGGGAACGUAAGACUCUUGUUCUCUUCUCAAGUUAUUCUAUUAUGGUCAUCCUCGUAUUUUCUGCGGGGAUUAAGGACUAGGUUACUUACCUUCUCUUAGGCUCGUGUUUGUGAUCGGUAGACUAUAGGACAACGGGUCGGGAGGUAUUUCGGGUUUCUUUUAUCCCUAGGAAAAGGAAGUCAUUUUUGAUGAUCAGAGAAUUGAACUUGAUAGUUGAGUGGUUACGCUAUCCUAUCUUUAUGGGUUGUCUCAAAAUUGUUUUUGAGCAUUUACAGUCAUUAUGCUGCCCAAUUUUGUCUUCAGAGCUCUAAUGUUUUUGCAUUACUCUCUAUUUUCAAAUGCUUGGCCGUCCUUCUCGUCAGGUGGUUCGUCUGACUAGGUGCAUUGAUGUGUCGGGUCAUAGGGCCAUGCUAGUCAGGAUGAUGCAGUGUCCGGUUACCGCUGGUACCCAGAGUACAUAGUGGAGGAGCAGUACCGGGAUUUUUAUCAGAGCCAGUACCUCUGCACUGUUAGGGUAUUCCCAUAUUACCCUGGAGCUCAGGAGCCAAUCCAUUGGUCUUAUGGAUUGGGAGUCACUGUUGACACGGCAGUACAAGAUGCUGCCUAUUCAAUGCUGACCAUCAUGAGGGCUAGACAUGCACUGCUGCAGAAUUCUGAGUUCUGCUAUGUUCGUGCCUCUCAGCCAGGUGAAGAAGGAUACCUCAGUGGGGUCUACUUUGAUUCCUCUAUGGAGGAUCCACUACUGCAGUCCACUGCUGAGAUGCUAGAGAAUAGAGAUAGGGAUGCUCGUGCCCUUCGUAUGGAGCUCUAUGCUACACGUCCCCGUCUAUGGACGCCUUUGACGCAGCUGGCACCUGUAGUCCACACAGGGUAUGGAGAUAUGGAGAUGCUGAACCUUGUUAGAAACCAUCUUCUGGCCCAUGUUGACUGGCCUCCUAUGGGAGGAGUCACCCCUCUUCGGGGACCUCUACUACCACCAGUUAGGGGUCCAAGGCCACAUCCGUGUCCUUACGGAUCCCAGGGAUCUCAGGCUGGAGUAUUUGCUGAUCCGCAAGUUGAGCUUCCAGGCCAUGGAGGCAAUAUUUAUGAGAUGUUCUAUGCGGAUGCCUGAACCGUGAGUGGAAGGAUAGUAUGGUAGUAGUUGUACUUUCACAGUCAUGUGUGACUUGUGAAGUAUGCUUGUGUCGUGAAAUGAAUUCCGGAGGCAUAGAUAAAUAAUGUAUAGGAAGCCUGGAAGCCUCUGAUGAGUAGUUUCAUAUUUUCAGUAGUUUGUUCUUUGGUUAAGGUUGUACUGAACUAUGUAAUGGUGUGUAUGAACCAUGGUGUAUAUAUAGCAGUUGCUUGUUACCAUGCUGUUCGGAUAUUCAUUUCCGUAUUCCAUGUGUUCAGUGCAUUCUUAAUCCAUAGCUAGUAUUGAUGAUGAUAUUGGUCUAAGCUAUGAGUUUGUUUGUCAGGAUGCUGUUCACCAGGUUGAACCGUGUCCCUGCUCAUGAGCAAGGCGAGGGUAGUCAAGCGUCGCAGGAAGAACUGCCUCACCCAUCCUCUCUGGCGGAAGUUAUGCCUGAGGCAGAGAGAAACAAAAGGGAGACCAACCGACUGUUAGAGCGUAUUGAGCAAAAUACGGCUCGUCAGCCUAGGAAUGCUGCAGUGUCCCUCAAUGACUUUGUGAAGCUGAAUCCUCAAAAGUUCCAUCACUCCGUCGAUCCCCUCGACGCUGAUGAUUGGCUGUGCAGUAUCUCACGUAAGAUUCGCUCUGCGAAUGUUUCUAAGGCCGACAAGGUGACCUUUGCGGCGUACUUUCUAGAACGACCCGCCAAUCUGUGGUGGGAGAACUUUGAAGCUAUGCGUCCUGCUGAACCAGCAGCUACAUGGGAAGACUUUAGUGCAGCCUUCCGUCUGCACCAUAUUCCAGAGGGCCUCAUGGACAAAAAGAGAGAGGAGUUCUGUGCAUUCACCCAGGGAAAGUUGACCGUGGAUGCCUAUAACCGCGAGUUCGGUAACCUCGCCCGCUAUGCAACAGAGGAGGUGUCUACUGAUGCCAAGAAGCAAGCAAGAUUCCGUAAGGGUCUGAGCCCUGAGCUUCGUCGUGAUUUGCGCCUCAUGAAUGUACAAGCUUCCAAGCCCUGGUCAACAAGGCGAUCAGUGCCGAGACUUGUCAUACCGACUAUAAAGCCACAAAGAAGCACUCCCGUGACUUUGGCUCGUCAUCUGGUUCCGCGUUCCCAAAACGCAGGUUGUGGGUUCCAAAUACUUCUCUGCCGCCAAGAUACACUCCGAGGCCAUCCUAUGUGGCGCCUUAGACGAAUCAGACCAACCCUCCAGCAAAAACCUAUGGUGGUCCAGCUAGCAAUGCUGCACCACGUGCUAAUCAGGUGAUCUGUUAUAAGUGUGGAGAACCAGGGCACUAUUCCCGUGAGUGUCCUCAGAAUGUGGGUGCCAAGCAACCCGGAAAGUCCGUUGGGCAAGGCAAGUCGGGCAAAUCUUACUAUGUGAAGCCAACUCCUACACGUGGCCGUGUGAACUAUGUUUCAGCAGAAGAAGCUGCAAAGGAUCCCGACGUCAUACUGGGUACGCUCCUUGUUAAUCAUCACCCAGCGUCUGUUCUUUUUGACACUGGGUCUUCUCAUUCUUUCAUUUCAGAAAGUUAUGCGCAGUUGCAUAACAUGUCUUUCUUUGAUAUGCCAAUUCCAUUGGUUGUCGAAACUCCUGGUAGUAAGUGGCAAACCUCCAGGAUAACCUAUGGCAAUGAAAUUCUAGUAGACAGGCUAGUUUUUCUAGCAUCAUUGAUAGCCUUGAAAUCUUCAGAUAUUAAUAUCAUCUUGGGUAUGGACUGGAUGUCAGCUCACUAUGCCAAGAUUGAUACUCAUUCCAGAAAUGUUCAGCUUACCCAUCCCUCGGGUGAGAUAGUCAGUGUCUCUACUCGAGUUGCCAAAUGCCAACUCUAUUCCCUCAAUGCCAACCUUCUUCCGGAACUUGAAGACAUCCCGGUAGUCUGUGACUUCCCAGAUGUUUUUCCAGAGGAACUGCCAGGAAUUCCACCUGACAAAGAUGUAGAGUUUGUGAUAGAUCUUGUUCCGGGAACUAUUCCAAUAGCCAGAAGAACAUAUAAGAUGGCACCCCUGGAGCUAGCCGAACUUAAGAAGCAACUAGAUGAGGCCUUGAAUAAAGGUUUCAUUCGUCCUAGCUCUUCUCCUUGGGCUUGUCCCGUCCUCUUCGUCAAGAAGAAAGACGGAACGGAUCGGAUGGUUGUAGAUUACCGACCAGUUAAUCUGGUCACCAUAAAGAACAAGUAUCCGCUCCACAGGAUCAACGACCUGUAUGAUCAGCUCGCUGGAUCCCCAGUCUUCUCAAAAAUGGAUUUGAGGUUAGGAUACCAUCAAAUCAAGAUCUAGAACGGGACAUUCAAAAAACGGCUUGUUUCACUCGUUAUGGCCAAUACGAGUACAUCAUCAUGUCCUUCGGUUUAACCAAUGCCCCAGCCACCUUCUCUCAGUUGAUGAAUUCAAUCUUCAUGGAGUAUUUGGAUAAAUUCGUCGUAGUAUACGUCGAUGAUAUUCUCAUCUACUCGAAGAACGAACAAGAACAUGCCGAGCAUCUAAGGUUGGUAUUGAUGAAACUUCGGGAGCAUCGCCUUUAUGCCAAGUUUUGUGAAUUUUGGUUACCAGAAGUGACCUAUCUAGGUCACGUAAUCUCUGGUAAGGGUAUUGCUGUCAAUCCCGAGAAAGUUCAAGCUGUCCUUGAUUGGACUCAACCUGAAUCGGUUAAGCAAGGUAGGAGUUUUCUUGGUCUAGCGAGCUAUUUUCGCCGCUUUGUCGAGAAUUUCUCCAAGGUUGCAAAGCCUCUAACUGAACUCCUCAAGAAAUAUAAAAAGUUCGAGUGGACACCAAAGUGUGAGCAUAGUUUUCAGGAACUGAAAAGACGCCUGACUUCCGCACCUGUGUUGCUACCACCAGAUUUCUCUAAGGACUUUGUUAUCUACUGUGACGCCUCACGACAAGGAUUAGGUUGCAUUCUCAUGCAAGAUCGUCAUGUGAUUGCAUAGGCAUCUCGACAGUUGCGUCCACAUGAGGAUAAUUAUCCCACACAUGAUCUUGAGCUUGCAGCUGUAGUCCAUGCACUUAAAACCUGGUGACAUUACCUUCUUGGUAAUCGUUGCAAAAUAUUCACUGAUCACCAAAGUCUAAAAUAUAUCUUCACCCAGCCGGAUUUGAAUCUCAGGCAAAGACGGUGGAUUGAGUUGAUCAUGGAUUACGACUUAGGGAUAACUUACACCCCGGGGAAGUCCAAUGCUAUGGCUGAUGCACUAAGUUGCCAAAUGCCAACUCUAUUCCCUCAAAGCCAACCCUCUUCCGGAACUUGAAGACAUCCUGGUAGUUCGUGACUUCCCGGAUGUUUUUCCAGAGGAACUGCCAGGAAUUCCACUUGACAGAGAUGUAGAGUUCGUGAUAGAUCUUGUUCCGGGAACUGUUCCGAUAGCCAGAAGACCAUAUAAGAUGGGACCCCUGGAGCUAGCCGAACUUAAGAAGCAACUAGAUGAGGCCUUGAAUAAAGGUUUCAUUCAUCCUAGCUCUUCUCCUUGGGCUUGUCCCGUCCUCUUCGUAAAGAAGAAAGACGGAACGGAUCGGAUGGUUGUAGAUUACCGACCAGUUAAUCUGGUCACCAUAAAGAACAAGUAUCCGCUCCCCAGAAUCAAUGACCUGUAUGAUCAGCUCGCUGGAUCCUCAGUCUUCUCAAAAAUGGAUUUGAGGUUAGGAUACCAUCAAAUCAAGAUCAAGAACGGGGACAUUCCAAAAACGUCUUUUGUCACUCGUUAUGGCGAAUACGAGUACACCGUCAUGUCCUUCGGUUUAACCAAUGCCCCAGCCACGUUCUCUAGCUUGAUGAAUUCAAUCUUCAUGGAGUAUUUGGAUAAAUUCGUCGUAGUAUACCUCGAUGAUAUUCUCAUCUACUCGAAGAACGAACAAGAACAUGCCGAGCAUCUAAGGUUGGUAUUGAUGAAACUUCGAGAGCAUCGCCUUUAUGCCAAGUUUUGAAAAUGUGAAUUUUGGUUACCAGAAGUGACCUAUCUAGGUCACGUAAUCUAUGGUAAGGGUAUUGCUGUCAAUCCCGAGAGAGUUUAAGCUGUCCUUGAUUGGACUCAACCUGAAUCGGUUAAGCAAGUUAGGAGUUUUCUUGGUCUAGCGAUCUAUUGUCGCCGCUUUGUCGAGAAUUUCUCCAAGGUUGCAAAGCCUCCAACUGAAAUCCUCAAGAAAGAUAAAAAGUUCAAGUGGACACCAUAGUGUGAGCAUAGUUUUCAGGAACUGAAAAGACGCCUGACUUCCGCACCUGUGUUGCUACCACCAGAUUUCUCUAAGGACUUUGUUAUCUACUGUGACGCCUCACGACAAGGAUUAGGUUGCAUUCUCAUGCAAGAUCGUCAUGUGAUUGCAUAGGCAUCUCGACAGUUGCGUCCACAUGAGGAUAAUUAUCCCACACAUGAUCUUGAGCUUGCAGCUGUAGUCCAUGCACUUAAAACCUGGCGACAUUGCCUUCUUGGUAAUUGUUGCGAAAUAUUCACUGAUCACCAAAGUCUAAAAUAUAUCUUCACCCAGCUGGAUUUGAAUCUCACGCAAAGACGAUGGGUUGAGUUGAUCACGGAUUACGACUUAGGGAUAACUUACACACCGGGGAAGGCCAAUGUUAUGGCUGAUGCACUAAGUCGUAAGUCUUAUUAUAACAAUUUGAUGCUACAACGAGGUCAACCACAUCUCUAUGAGGAAUUUCGGAAGUUAAAUCUCCAUAUUGUUCCUCAAGGAUUCAUUUCUACCCUGGUGGCGAAGCCUACUCUUAAGGAUCAAAUUAUAGCUGGCCAGAAGCGUGAUAAGGGUAUAUCACGGAUCAAGGAGAAUAUUAUUAGCGGAAACGCUAAUGAAUUCUCCAUGAAUGAUCAAGGUGUUGUGUUCUUGCAAAAUCGUCUAGUGGUUCCUAAGAAUCCACAUCUAAGGCAGUUAAUCCUUAAGGAAGCUCAUGAUUCUCCUCUCACCAUUCAUCCUGGUAGUACUAAGAUGUAUCAGGACCUACGCCAGAGGUUUUGGUGGACUAGGAUGAAGAGAGAAAUUGCUGAGUUCGUUGCUAACUGCGACGCUUGUCGUCGAGUUAAGGCAGAACAUCGAAGGCCUGCUAGCACCCUUCAACCUUUAGCUAUUCCUGAAUGGAAAUGGGAUAAAGUCAGUAUGGAUUUCAUUACCCGAUUUCCCAAGACCAAGAAUGGAAAUAAUGCUAUCUUUGUGGUCAUUGAUCGUCUCUCCAAAGUAGCCCAUUUUCUUCCAGUUCGUGAGAGUAUAACAGCUAGCCAGCUAGCAGAGUUCUAUGUCUCUCGAAUAGUGUCUCUUCAUGGUGUUCCCCUGGAGAUUAACUCAGACCGUGGAAGUAUCUUUACUUCUCGCUUCUGGGAAAGUUUUCAAAAUGCUAUGGGGACUCACUUAUCUUUUAGCACUGCUUUCCAUCCUCAAUCAAGUGGUCAAGUAGAAAGAGUGAAUGAAGUCCUAGAAGAUAUGCUCCGAGCUUGUGUUAUAUCGUUCGGUAUGAAUUGGGAGAAGUGCCUUCCAUUCGCCGAAUUUUCUUAUAACAAUAGUUAUCAAUCAAGUUUGGGCAAAGCUCCUUUUGAAGUUCUCUAUGGACGAAGAUGUCGAACACCUCUUAAUUGGUCAGAAACCGGAGAGAGGCAACUCUUUGGCCCGGAUAUGAUCCAGGAUGCAGAAGAGCAGGUUCACAUUAUUCGUGAAAAGUUGAAAACAGCCCAGUCUCGUCAAAAGAGCCAAUAUGAUCGUCAUCAUAAGGCUGUGACCUUUGAAGUUGAUGAGAAGGCUUACCUCCGGUUACACCUUUGAAGGGUACCCAUCGAUUCGGUAUCAAGGGAAAGUUGGCUCCUCGUUACAUUGGUCCUUUUGGCAUUCUUGCCAAAUGAGGAGAAGUUGCCUACCAGUUGGAACUUCCUUUGCAUCUUUCCAAGGUUCAUGAUGUUUUCCACGUCUCGCAACUCACGCGUUGCUUUUCGGAUCCUACCCGUGAAGUGGACCACGAAACGCUUGAUCUCCAAGAUAACCUUUCAUACCGAGAAUACCCUGUGCGUAUUCUUGAUCAAGCUGAGCGUACCACUCGACCUCGAAACCUCAAGUUUCUUAAAGUUCAAUGGUCAAAUCAUUCUGAAAAGGAGGCAACAUGGGAAAGAGAGGAUCGUCUCAGACUUGAGUAUCCCGCGUUAUUCCCGACGACUUCCAAAUCUCGGGACGAGAUUUUUUUGAGUGGGGGUGAGUUGUCACAUCCCUGGACCCCUAACUAGGUUUUAGCAUUGUGCUCAUGUUUACAUUCAUUGCAUUCAAGAACUUGAAACAAAUUCAAAGCAAGUGGUGAAACAAAACCCCAAAAACCCUAGCCACUUCUCAAAAUUCAAGGAAAUUCAAAACUUGUUAAAAUCAAUGAACCCAAAAUUGCCUCAAGAAAAGUUCAACUUUUCUGAUAAUUCUUGAAAACAAAUUAUCACGGAAGAAAACUAUUUUCAAAACACAUUUGGCAUUUUAUGUAAAUUCAAAAAGCCACUGAAUUCAAGUUUAAAUUUGAACUCAAAAACUUUCAAGUUUUCAAAAAUGUUGAGAACUUCAGUAAUGGUUGGAAAUAUUCCAACUAAUAUUUCAGUGUGUUCAAAAUAAUUUUUGAACUAAGUUUGGAGCCAAAAUAAAUAACAGAACAAUUUAGCUUCAAAACAGAAAACAAAAUAGAAAAAAAAUGGGAAAAGCUUACCUGUUGCUCACCUGGUCUAGCCCAGCUCUCUCUCUGUCGUCUUCCUCCUCGCCAGUGGGCAGCAGGAGGUGGCCGCCGCGUACUCCGGCGCGGCCACGCACCUGUGCGCCUGCCUGGCCGCCACUUCACGCUCGCACGCGAGGGGAUAACCUCCUCGCAGCCUCUCCAUGCUCGCCCCUCUCCUCAUUCGCCCCUCUGCCUCAUCCUUCUCUGCCGCCAUUAGAGCCGAGCCCGAGCUCGAGCUCGCCGUCGUUCUAGCCCACCUCUCCUCCUUCUGAGCAGUGCAACAGAUCCGCCGCAGCUCCCUGAAGCUCCCAAGCUACGAGCCCGACGCCAGGAUGCAGUGAAUCGACGAGACGCGGUCGUCUUCUUCCUCGGGUCACCGAAGCUCGCCGUCGGCGUUCUCUCUCUACAGGUCAUCCCCGAGCAAGCUAGAGCUACCACUCCACUCCCCGUGAGCCUAGCAAGAUUUCCCCCAAGUUUCCUCCUUCGAUCUCUUCCUCUAGCCCUGUUUUCACCGGAGCCCGACGAGAUCCGCCGCGGGAGCUCGUCGGCGGUAGCCCUCCAGUGAACGGCUCGUCCAUCUGAGGCCACCAGUGGCUUCAGGGCGUCGAGUAGGUACUGUAGGAGCUCAGUCCCGUGCGUAACUCCCUCCGUUUCCAUGAGCCCAGCGAUGCUCGAGCUUCCGCCGCCGCCAAGCUCGUCGCCGGUGCCCUCUCCGGCCAGUUCGUCCUCGGCUAAAUGCAAAAAUGGACCUACGGGAGACGUGUCGUUCUUCUGGUGCACUCCGCGCAGAGUUUGGCCGCCUGUGCCGCGUUUCCGAGCCUCUCCGCCGUCCUGGAGGUCGCCGGAGGCUCACCGCCGGCGAGAACGACCUCGGCGCCGGUAGAUCUGACCCCCCCCUGAGUCUAUGACAGGUGGGGCCAACCUCUGGUUAAUUAGUAAUAAUAAAAUUAAAAUUAACUUAAUUAAAUUAACCUAAGAAGUCACUGACAGGUGGGUCCUACCCUGCUCAUUAACUAAUUAACUUAAAUUUAAACUAAAAACGGGCAUGGGUCACUGACCAGUGGGUCCCACUAGUCAGGUUUGACUUUCAACGGCCAGUUGGACCUGCUGAUGUCAUGCUAAUGCAAUAAAGCUUUUUCUGUUUAAAAAUAAUUCCAGAAUAAGUUCAAAACUUGGGAAAUUCAUAAAAGUUUGAAUAUAACUCCAAAUUGGACAAAUAAUAUAUGAAAAAUGAUCAGAAAAAUCCAAGGAAUCUUAAUAUGUCAUUUUCAAACAUGUUUGAAAAUGUUAACUUCACCAAACAUGCAAAAUGGUGAAUAGGUUAAAUUGGAUAAAUGCUUUGGAGUUGGAAUUUGAAAUUCAUUUGAAUUCCACUUAAAAUGCCAUGACCAAACAAUGCUCAACAACAACCAACAACUCAACAUAUCAUUCCCAUGCAUGUUAAAACAAGAUGACCUGAGCAUCAGGUCGAAUCAAUUAAAAGGGUAUUCAAAAAUACCUGGUUUGAAGCGAUAUUUGAAUCUUGAUUCAAAUCAACUUCAACUUAAUAAAUGGUACCUACAUUAGCCUACCACCUUUCAUCUUCAUGCCAUGCUCAUGCAUCAUCUUGUUGCAUAUGAUUGAUAUUGAUUGAUGUCAUUUCUAUCGAUAGGCUCUGCUCCUCCGGAUUCUAUCGAAUAUCUGACUGAUGGAUAUUGUACCUCUGUUGAGCAACAAGGCAAGCAACCAUUUUGAUCAUCCCGAUAAAUCCCAUGUUCUCGCUCCUGCACUUACUUAAUGCAUUAGGAUCAAAUGCUUCAAAUGCUUUUGCCACGUUAGUUGAAGCCACUUCCUUUGCAUGACCUAUCUUUGUCGCAGUAAAUAGUUGAACCUUGCAACCUAGCAUACCUGGUAGAUGCUUGAGCCAUGAUGUGCCUUAUCCUGCUAUGCAUGCUAUGCUUAGAGUUUUGUAUGGUCUGUCAUCUGGGUGAUGAACAGAAUUGUGAGAAUGCGUUCAGUAAGUAAAGGUUGUGUGUUAAACCUGAUUUGGUAAAGGUACCAGUGAAAGGCUAUGUAGGAGUACAGGGCGGGUUGUUUCAUUGGAACCGUCCUUAGGAACUGAGUUCCGUGUAUGUAAUCCAAGACGAGAUACUAGCACAAGCUGGGCCCUGAAAUAUGACCCCGCUCGACUUAUUAACCGCUUAGUACUCGGUCCAGGAGUUGCAAGUAGUUUUUGGUGUUUAUAGUCAUGCUGGAGGCCGUGCAUAGCGCUGACCUGAGAGGUGGGCUGUGAUGCGGUAGGCAGUGGCACGGUGUACCAAGUGGAACCUGGAUGGUGGGCUUGGGAACCCUGCGCACAUCGUUUGGGGCCGUGGCAGAAACCUCGGCCGGACUUCCGUGCGGGUUACCCUCAGAUAGGAGAUAGACCUGGACUAAGUAUUAGCGUGGUUAACGGUCGUGGCCGACUCCCUCGCUGGGCUUCCGCUUGAAGGUUGCUGAGGUGCAUGACGUGCACAUGGCGAUAAGUGGCGAGAGCGUGUGUGAAGAAGUACACCCCUGCAGGGUUAUGAUCUAUUCGAAUAGCCACGUCCGCAGAUCUGUACUACUUAGAAGCAUAUGUUGUUCAUGGAUAACUUUAGUGGCUACUCAUAAAAUUGUCAAGAUAAGCGUGAGUGUCAUGGACGACAUUUCAGUAUGGAGACGGAAUGAUUCCACGAUGGAGUAUUGUUGUGGUGUUAGUGGACUCGUGUGCGAGAAAUCAAGUUGUCAAAAUUAUUUAAAAAUGCAAGUUGUCUAGCCACGAGUCAAAUGCUGGCUUUCUGCAUGAAACCCCACAAUUCCUUAUUGAUACAUUGCAUGAGUAGAUAGCUUAUCCUAAAGUCUUGCUGAGUACUUUUGUACUCAUGUUUGCUUAAUAAAUUGUCGCAAAGGUUGUUAAUGACCCUAAUGGAGGGUUCUACCUAGACAUCGACGACGACGAGUAGCUGGUAUCCCAGCUACGAUCUGGCCCUAGGAUGGGUCUGUAGAUAGUCAGGCCAUGUGCCUUUGUCAUUCCUUCUGUCUGUAAUCAGACAGCUUUACUCUUCCGCUGGUUUGUAAGAAUUGUAUGUAUGACUUGUGAUGAUGGGUCGUGAGACCCCUACCUUGUAAUAUUAUGUGUGUGGCUCUUCCGAGCCUUCUAAAUAAAGUUUGUAUGUUUAUGGUUAUGUUGUGAUGCCAUCGAUGUAUCUAUACAUAUCGGUAUGCCAUGCGUACGUGUGUUGUACUUGACAUGUAUGGGGUUCGAUUACCUAGCCGUAGGCUUUAGUAGGAUUCCUUACAGAGAAAUGCCCCUUUGUGAUCCAACGAGCCAUGGUAGUUCGCUACUGCUCCCGACACAUUGGUUGACCGGCAUGUGUCCUUCUUAGCUGUUGUGUGUGUCCCCGUUGGGGAAAUGUCACGCGAUAUAAUGGAGUCCUCGUAGCUUGCUACGACUCGUCUACACUCGCUGGUGACCGACACCUGCUUUGCUGGGUCAUGUAUGCCUGUCCCUCUGCGGAACUUCCACUUUGGUUUAUGACUACACAUGUCAAUACGAGUUCUUUGUCAUUGGAUUGCUAGCGACACAAUUGCAUACGCGAGUCAAAAGGCGUAAACGGUCCCGGCUAAGGUAAGGCUGCAACCGUCGGGAUAUCCGUGCGUGAGACCGCAAAGAGAUGCGAUGUGUUACAGGCUGGAUUCCUAUGGCCUAGGAUCGGGGUCCCGACAGCGUGCCAAUUACGUACAUGUGCCGGAAGCUGUAUACUUUACGUCUCAAUGAAACUCUUCAUAAGUUUCGCUCCUCUUCCUGUUUUUUGAGUUUAUAUAAACCAUUGCAAGAACCAUGAAUGUAAGAUAUCCACGUUCCUUUAUGAAUCUGUAGGUAGGUUGCAACUUCACUUGAAUCUGACAAGUUACUGGGUGCGUGAGCCAACCACAUAUACAUGUGCCAGUAGCUGGAUACUUUACAAAGACUUCAUAGAUUUAUCUCCUCAUCCUGGUUUGGUACUUUAUAUAAACCAUUGCAAGAACCGUGAAUGUAAAAUGUCCAGGUUCCUUUUAUGCACUUCUUGAUAUGUUGAGAUGGUGGAAUGAAUAGCUAAUUUGCCCCACAGAUGAAUGGUAUCAUAGGGUACUAAUUAUUAGGAUUGGGAGGUAUUAGGACAACCAUUUCUAGCAGGACUGGACUACCAUGUUGCUUCAUAUCAAAAUCAACAUAAAUAUUAGGUAGAUCGUUCAACAUCAAUGUUACCAAGAUCCCACACGUGUCAUUGCUGUCAAUCUUCGCUACCCAUUGCCAGGAUCGGACCUCCUUGAGCUGGAGCAAGAGGGCAAACAACUGCCCUCUCGGCGAUGUCUUGGUGUGUUCUGUGCAACUGUGCAUUGCGGUUUGGUUUCUCAAGGCAACACGGUUCAAUCAAGGUUUUGGUUUUCGGUUUCUGUAUUUUUCGUACAAUUGGAGUUCUCUUCUUGGAGAAAUUGUUGAUAGGUGUAAUUCCUUCUCCUAGUUUUCCAUGUAAUAAUGCUAACUCAUAGGCAGUAUCAAGGUCUUUUGACUUCUAGAAAGCUACAACUAUUCAAACUCCAGGUUUCAGACCAUCCAUGAAAUGCAAUGACUGAACCUGCCUUCAUAACAAGAUUUGCACUAACAAUGUGCAUGGGUGGGACAACUGACAACAAGGGGUUGGGUUGGUCCUUUUUUCAUCAUCUAUUACUGUACUAAUUAGAGACUCACAAAAAACUACCACGUUAAUCAGAAAAUAUGAGCUGUUAAUUUGGUGGGGCCACAGUUAUUACAGUUAGAUGAAAAUCUUUCUCGGCCAUGUUAAGUUUUUUUAUAGACACAAACCUUACGUGAAUAGAUUGGAUCGUAGCUCACGUCUAAUGUCAUAUUAUUCCACCAGCUAUCUGCAAGAGUAAUUUUUCCAUCGUCCAUAAUUAUUUCUCUCUCCUCCUCUAUGGAUUAUGCAUCUGGUCAUGAGAGUCUCAGCAAGGUACGUCUCAUAACAAGCAAUAUGCACCCAAAAAACAUUAUACUACUAGCUAUAGGCAGCCUGUAGAUCGGUUACAGAAAAAGACUGCGUAGUCCAGGCUGAGACGAGGCUCCAUUGGCCGGCAGCAACUUUUUGUGUUACAUCCGCGGCAUCCUUUUAGCUGAUCAAGAUGCGCCAAAGGCCUCUACACUUGGCACGUAUGAUUUAUCAAGUCCGUAUUAAGCAAGGCCGAGGUGCAUGGUCCGGGCUGAGACGAGGCUUUGUUGUUGUGCUGAGGCGUGCCUUGCCACGCAUCAAUGGUGAGAACUGUCCCGCGGAAACUUUCUCUUUUACAUAUGAUGCAUGGAUGUAGCUAGCUGAUCUAGAUGCGCCAAAGGCCCCUACAUUCGAUAGGUUUGAUCCUACCCGUCCGUAUUAAGCAAGACCGAGGAUUGAUUAUGACUUCGAGCGUGCUUCAUAUUUUGGUAGUGCAAAGUCAUGACUUCAUCCUUAUUUACUGAAUUUUGCAUGAAGAAUACAUAUAUUUGGUGACGAUGAGAUGCUUUGCUUUUGUGAGUUCAUAUCAUUGGUCGCAUCCAUAGGAUUAUGUAAUACUUUGACACAAGGUUUUAUAAUUCAUAACUGUGUACUUUUAUCAUAAAUGAGAGAAAAACACAUAUUAAAAAUUAUUAAUUGCUGGAACUCCAUACUAAUAAUACUACAAAGAUAAUUCAUCAGGAAAGAUCUCACAUGCGUGCUAGUAUUGAUUAUGACUUCGGGCCUGCUUCAUAUUUUGGUAGUGCAAAGUCAUGACUUCAUCCUUAUUUACUGAAUUUUCCAUGAAGCAUACAUAUAGUUGGUGACGAUGAGAUACUUUGCUUUUGUGAAUUCAUAUGAUUGGUUGCAUCCAUAGGAUUAUGUAAUACUUUGACACAAGGUUUUAUAAUUCAUACCUCUCUACUUAUAUCAUAAAUAAGAGAAAAAAUACAUAUUAAAAAUUAUUCAUUACUGGAACUCCAUACUAAUAAUACUACAAAGAUAAUUCAUCAGGAAAGAUCUCAAAUGCACACACGCACACACCCAUUAUCUAUCAUGUACCAAUACACACAUGUCUCUUGCUAACGGCAAAUAUCUAGAAUCUUGAACCUCCUAUUUUUGGGUGAAUCUGAUGAUUGAUAAAAAUAAAUAAAUACAUGGCAUAAAGUAAUGUAGUUUAAUGGAAACAACCUAAGAAUAAAGAAAAAGGACUCUCUUUUGAUGUAAUAUAUAUGGUAUGGUGAAGUGAACAUAGCGGCAUGGAUGCGCAGCAGCGGCCCCGACCGAAUUCCAUUAGCACGUGUGAUUGUUGCAAGUCAUGCAUGCAUAUGCAUAUAAGAAUGAGAAAUAAUCAACAAGAAAGUCUUCUUGACGGGUCAGUAUUUUCUAUUUUGCACCCACGGUUCUAACAUACCUUAUUGUUUUACACUUCUACUAAUGUAAAUGCUCUCAUAUCACACUCCUUUCCUCCCCAUAAGAAGCGUAUUCCAUAUUAUUCAUGAGGCCGAGAACAUGCUGACAUAAGUCGCGAAGAAGAAUAGAAGAUGGAUUAUGUGUUUGGUUGUCUUCACAUGGCUGAUAUGUUUCUGUCAUGUGGUGAUAAUUUAUAGGAUGGAAUACAAAGUUAUUUACAAGACUUAUAUUGUGCAAAUAUUACUAUCAGGAUUCAACUAUAUUGGAUGUAUAACCUAUUGUAUAAAUAGGAAAAGUUAUGGGGCCCAAGUCAUUGAUUUCAAAUACAUAUUAUUCACUAACACAAAAGGUGGUAAAGUUUUGCACUAUCAAAAUAGCAUAUAUAUUUAGUUCAUGUAUGGCAAUUUUCUUCAACUUUUGAGCAUCUCUAUUAUGUAUUACCAUAUUUUAUAUUCUCCACCUGAGGCUAUUAGCAAAUUGUAUGGCUUUGUAGCCUUUCUCGAUAAGUAAGAGUGUCGAACCCAACGAGGAGCUAAAGGUAGGACAAAUAUUCCCUCAAGUUCUAUCGACCACCGAUACAACUCUACGCACACUUUACGUUCGCUUAAUCUAGAACAAGUAUGAAACUAGAAGUACUUCGAUGGAGUUAUAGGAUAGGUUUGCAAGAAAAGAAAGAACACAUAAAUAAAAACUAGGGGAUGGUAAGAAAAAGAAACAAUUACGUUAGUUUGACGAGUGGGGAAAAGUGAUGGUAGGAGUUGCGGAAUUGUCCCUAAGCAAUUGACUAUGUUACUAGACUGAUAGCAAGUUUUAUGUGGGAGAGGCCACUGCUAGCAUGUCAUCCCUUACUUGGAAUUCUAUGCACUUAUGAUUGGAAAUAUUAGCAAGCAUCCGCAACUACUAACGUUCAUUAAGAUAAAAUCCAACCAUAGCAAUAAGAUAUUUUGGUCCCCCUUCAAUCCCGUAUGCAUAAAUUUCUAUGCUAGGCUGAAGCUUUUUUCACCAUUGCCCUCCAAUACAUAGUCCUAUCAACAUACUACUAACCCUAUGGUGUGAUCCUUGCGCAUGCUCAUGUGAUGGGCACCAAAGGACAACAACAUAACCACAAGCAAAUUAAACCAAUCAUAGCAAUUCAUCAAUCACCGAUAGGACAACACAUCAUUGGAUGGCAACAUAUCAUUGGAUAAUAAUAUGAAAUAUAAAGCACCAUGUUCAAGUAGAGGGUACAGCGGGUUGCGGGAGAGUGGACCGCUGAAUAUAGAUGGGGGAAGGUGAUGGAGGUGUUGGUGAAGAUGACGGAGGUGUUGGUGUAGAUCGCCGUCACACGAUGAUGUCUCGGGCGACGUUCCGGUGCCGCCGAGAGAGAGGGGGAGAGAGCCCCCUUCUUCUUCUUCUUCUUCCUUGACCUCCUCCCAAGAUGGGAGAAGGGUUUCCCCUCUGGUCCAUGGUCUCCAUGGCGGCAGAGGGGCGAGAUACCCUCCGAGAUUUGAUCUCUCUCUCUCUGUGUGUCCUUCUCUUUCUGCGCUCCCAGACUCUGGCCUUUCACCGUUUAUUAAAUUCCCGAAGAUCUGUAACUUCGAUUGGGCUGAAAUUUUAACACAAUUUUCUACCGGAUAUUAUCUUUCUUGCGGUGAAAGAAGAUCACCAACUGCCUUAGGGAUUGGUCACAAGCCUGUCAGCCGCGGCCUAGGGGGGUCGCGCCUCCUACGCUUGUGACCUACUCGGGCAUCGUUUCGCGUAGAUUCUUCUUCCCAAAAAUCAUAAAUAUUCCAAAAAAAAUCCCCUAGGUUUUUUAUUGCGUUUGGACUUCGUUUGGUAUGGAUAAUCUGCGAAACAAAAAACAUGCAACAAACAGGAACUGACACUAGGCACUGGAUCAAUAUGUUAGUCCCAAAAAUAGUAUAAAAAGUUGCCAAAAGUAUAUGAAAGUUGUAGAAUAUUGGCAUGAAACAAUCAAAAAUUAUAGAUAGGACGGAGACGUAUCAGCAUCCCCAAGCUUAAUUCUUGCUCGUCCUCGAGUAGGUAAAUGAUAAAAAAAGAUAAUAUUUGAUGUGGAAUGCUACCUAGCAUAAUCUUGAUCAUAUAAUCUAAUCAUGGCAUGAAUACUAAAACAAGAAUUAUUCGAAGAAAUAUUCUAUCAUUUGACAUAAAACAAUAAUAUUUCAAGCAUACUAACAAAGCAAUCAUGUAAUCUCAAAAUAUCAUGGCCAAAGAAGGUUAUCCCUACAAAAUCNNNNNNNNNNNNNNNNNNNNNNNNNNNNNNNNNNNNNNNNNNNNNNNNNNNNNNNNNNNNNNNNNNNNNNNNNNNNNNNNNNNNNNNNNNNNNNNNNNNNNNNNNNNNNNNNNNNNNNNNNNNNNNNNNNNNNNNNNNNNNNNNNNNNNNNNNNNNNNNNNNNNNNNNNNCUAUGCUCCAUCUUCCCCACACAACGUAUUUAAAUCAUGCACAACCCCGGUUUUAGCCAAGCAAUUGUUUCAUACUUUAUUGUUCUCAAACUUUUCAACUUUCACGCAAUAUAUGAGCGUGAGCCAUGGACAUAACACUAUAGGUGAAUAGAAUAUGGUGGUUGUGGAGAAGACAAAAAGGAGGAGAUAGUCUCAGAUCAACUAAGCAUAUCAACGAGCUUUGGAGAUUCCCAUCAAUAGAUAUCAAUGUGAGUGAGUAGGGAUUGCCAUGCAACAGAUGCACAAGAGCUAUAAGUGUAUGAAAUCUCAAAAAGAAACUAGUGGGUGUGCAUCCAACUCGCUUGCUCACGAAGACCUAGGGCAAUUUGAGGAAGCCCAUCAUUGAAAUACACAAGCCAAGUUCUAUAAUGAAAAUUUCCCACUAGUAUAUGAAAGUGAGAACAUAGCAGACUCUCUAUCAUGAAGAUCAUGGUACUACUUUGAAGCACAAGUGUGGUAAAGGAUAGUAGCAUUGUCCCUUCUCUCUUUUCUCUCAUUUUUAUUACUAUUAUUAUUAUUAUUUCCCUUUUUUGGGUGGGCUUAUUUGGCCUCUUUUUUUUUAUUUGGGCUUCAUUGGCCUCUUUUAUUACUUCCUCACAUGGGACAAUGUUGUAAUAAUGAUGAUCAUCACACUUUUAUUUACUUACAACUCGACUAUUAGAACAAAAUAUGACUCUAUAUGAAUGCCUUCGACGGUGUACCGGGAUGUGAAAUGAUCUAGCGUAGCAAUGACAUCAAAAAAACGGACAAGCCAUGAAAACAUCAUGCUAGCUAUCUUACGAUCAUGCAAACCAAUAUGACAAUGAUGGUGCGUGUCAUAAUAAACGGAACAAUGGAAGUUGCAUGGCAAUAUAUCUCGGAAUGGCUAUGAAAAUGCCAUAAUAGGUAGGUAUGGUGGCUGUUUUGAGCAAGGGUAUAUGGUGGGUGUAAUGCACUGGCGAAAGUUGCGCGGUACUAGAGAGGCUAGCAAUGGUGGAAGGGUGAAAGUGGGUACAAUCCAUGGACUCAACAUUAAUCAUAAAGAACUCACAUACAUAUUGCAAAAGUCUAUUAGUCAUCGAAACAAGGUACUACACGCAUGCUCCUAGGGGAAGGGUUGGUAGGAGUUAACCAUCGAGUGAUCCCAACCUCCACACAAAGGAAGACAAUCAAUAAAUAAAUCAUGCUCCGACUUCGUCACAUAACGGUUCACCAUACGUGCAUGCUACGGGAAUCACAAACCUUAACAGAAGUAUUUCUAUGAAUACAUAAUUACUCACUAGCAUGACUCUAAUAUCACAUCUUCAUGUCGCAAAACUAUUGCAAGGAAUCGAACAUAUCAUAUUCAGUGAUCUACAAAUUUUAUGUAGGAUUUUAUGACUAACCAUGCGAAUGACCAACUCCUGUUAACUCUCUAAAUAGGUAUAAGUGAAGCAUGAGAGUUUAAUUCUUCCUACAAAACAUAUGCCCCGCUCUAACAAAAAUAAGUGAAGCAAAAGAGCAUUCUACAAAUGGCGGUUUUCUAUGUGUAGGGAAACAGGCAAUCCAAACUUCAAAUGAUAUAAGUGAAGCACAUGAAGCAUUCUAUAAAGCCAUACUCAAAAUAUAUAAGUGAAGUGCAAAGAGCAUUCUAUAAAUCAACCAAGGACUAUCUCAUACCAGCAUGGUGCAUAAAAUAAAAAGGAAAAAUAAACACAAAAGACGCUCCAAGCAUUUGCACAUAUCAUGUGACGAAUAAAAAUAUAGCUCCGAGUAAAAUUACCGAUACAUUGUAGACGAAAGAGGGGAUGCCUUGCGGGGCAUCCCCAAGAUUAGACGCUUGUGUCUUCCUUGAAUAUUACCUUGGGAUGCCUUGGGCAUCCCCAAGCUUAGGCUCUUGCCUCUCCUUAUUCCUUCAUCCAUCGUGGUCUCACCCAAAACUUGAAAACUUCAAUCACACAAAACUCAACAAAACCUUCGUGAGAUCCGUUAGUAUAAUAAAGUAAAUCACCACUUUAAGUACUGUUGUGAACUCAUUCCAAAUUCGUAUUAGCAUUAUAUCUACUGUAAUCCAACUUUACCAUGGUUAAUACCCCCAUAGAUUCAUCAAAAUAAGAGAACAAUGCAUAGAAAACAGAAUCUUUCAAAAACAGAAUAGUCUGUAGUAAUCUGAACUUAUACCAUACUUCUGAUACUACAAAAAUUCUGAAACAAUUAUUAUAAUUAAGUAAAUUUUUAUAUCAACCAGAAGCAAAAAAAAUCAACUCAAUAGCACUCUUUGUAUAGAAAUAAGAAAUGAUUUCGUGUGUGCUAAGUUUCUGUUUUUUUCAGCACGAUCAAACAACUAUCACCCAAACUAAUCAUAAAGGCUUUACUUGGCACAUUAUUUUUAUAAUACAAUGGAAUUGUACAAGGGGAUAAUAUUUUUGCGAGAAACUUCCAUGAAAAAUUCUACAUUGUUUCCAUGAGCAUGAACACAAGUGUUCAAGGUCGACCCUCACUUCCGCAAUGCAUCACCUUUCAAUCGCUUCUCUUUUGGAAAGAGUUUUAAGUUCCCCUCUAUAUUUUUUUGUUUUUAAACUAUAUAAAAGCACUCAACAGAAAUAAAUGACUCUCUAAAACUUCUGGGUUGUCUCCCAGGCAACGCUUUCUUUAGAGCCGUUAAGCUAGGCAUAAAGUGCUCAAGUAAUGGAUCCACCCGGAUCCCAAGGUAUAUCAAAGCCAAUUUUAAUUAACAAUUAUUUGUAAUUUAGUAGUGAGCACAAGGUAACAUAUAUCAUGCAAUGACGAAGUCUAACUCUCUUCCUAUGCAUUGGCAUGUCAUAGAAGAACAAUUCAUGCACAUCAAGUAAAGGCCAAUACAUAGCAUAAGCAGUUUCUUGCAAUUUAUUGUAUUGGAAACAUAGAGAGGUGGAGAUGUAGUUCCUCUCUCAUAAUAAUUGCAAGUAGGAGCAGCAAGCACAUGCAUAUUAUAUUCAUCAAAAUCAUCAUGUGUACUAGUUGAAGGCAACCCAUCUAUGUAAUCCCUAAUAAGAGCAAACUUCUCCGAUAUAGUGUAGUUGGGAGAGUUCAAAAAGAUAAUAGGACUAUCAUAAGUGGGUGCGAUAGCAACAAUUUCAUGUUUAACAUAAGGAACUAUAGCAAGUUCAUCUUCAUAAGCAUCAUUCAUAUUGGCAUCAUGGCCACAAGCAUAGCAAGCAUCAAGUUCAUCCAAAAGGGAUAUUUCAAACGAAUCCAAGGGAUCAUAGCAAUAACAUUCAUCCUUUGGUAAGAACGAUAUUUGUGUUGGAUUUGAGGGGUGCCGGUCAGCUCGGACAUUUGAGACCCGUUUCGGGAGUCCGUCUGGAUCGAUUUUUCGUGACCGGGCGUGACCGGACGGCUUACCCAGCCGUAUGAGAUGGAUAUAAUAGAUCAGUUGAAGAUGCUCUAAGGCGAAGCAUCCGUUGUCUACCACAUAAUUAAGAUUGGUGCGCCCGGCUUGGGCAUAAACAUGGGAAAUAUUUUCUUGCAUAUAUAAAUUGUAAUACAUUGAUGUUUAGGUGAUAAUGGGUUACUGCUGCCGAAUCUGACAUGCCUCCUUUUCUUGGGAAGAAUAGUUAUUUCAUGAAUAUUAUUUUGGCAACAAUCAAGGUUAUCCAUGUGGAUUUUGUUAAACAACUCCAUCAGAUUGGCUUUGAUCGUUCAUAGAAACCUUAGUAGAAUUCUGCCUGGAGAAAAUGGUGCAUGCUACAGUGGUUGUCGCGGCCUCCACCCAUCGCUGGUGGAUAAAAACAUCAAUCGGGGCAUAAAAAGUAGCUUAUUGGGUCAUCACGUUUCGAAAUUUCAAGGUCUACCGCAGUGUAUUAAACAAUGUCGGCCUUAUGCAGGUGCUAAUUUUGGAAUCUUUGCACACAUCCGCAGGAACCGCCCUCAGAUUGAAUGUCCAUGAUAUGGGUACCACGUAACCCAUCCUACAAAAAACUAAGGGCGGAAACCAGUGGUAGAAGCAUAGUUUUAAAUAGCUCGUUAUAGCCCUGUUAUAGCCUUGCUAUAGCCUUUUCAACAGGUUGUCGCUAAAUGAUAUCAUGUAUAAAUGUGCCCCUAUAGCCUGCUAUAGCUCUGGUAUAGCAGAUUUUAAGGCGUGCCACUAUUUUUCAUAGCCCUCAAGAGGAGAGGGGUCGUUGUGUAAGUCAAAUCUUCGCUCCGGUGGUGGCUGGGUAAACAAUUCGCCCGCCGAGCCGUAGUUUUUCUCAUUCAAAGCAUCUUUUUCUAGACUUACAUUUAGACAAUAAAUGAUGGAGGACAACUGAAACCUAUAUGAUGAAUAUGCAACAUUACUUCAAUCUUGAUAAGACACUGUCAUAGAUAAAUACCCACAUCAAUUAAUUGUACACAUACUAGAGUAGGUGACACAAUCAAAUAUGCGAAUAAUUAAUUGUAUACUUCACCUCUCAACUAAAACACUUUGUAGGUUUCUCUCCAUUUCUUGGUAUCAACGACUAUAUAAACCAUUGCAAGAAUAAGAGCUAUAAAAAUGAGCUACAACAUACUCCGUAUCUAAGUACUCAUAUUGCCCUUCUAGCUACGUUGAGAUAAUGUAAAGAGUAGCUAAUUUGCACUAGUGCAGAAGUCCAAAGGAUACGAAUAUGUGGGAUUGAGAGCCAUUAGGAUUGCCAGUCCUAGUAACAUUGACAAGAUUCGUCGCUUCAUCUGGAAAGACCACACUUCUAGUGGAAAACAAGGUGCAGGCGGGUUGGCUGGAGGAGCUUUGGUUGAACUGAUCUCCACGGACCCUGCACCUCGGCGUGGCUGUGCAAGAGGAGGAACCCAGUGAUGGCUUUAAACUGCGCUAGACCAUCUCCCAUGGCUCACCAGUCAUCUCAAGCCACCGUCGCCUAUUGGCCUUGCCUUGGCCUUGGCCAAGGAGGAAGAAGACUGACGCAGACUGCACACACACGUGAGAAGAACACACAGAGUCUAGUGCACACGCACUUGUGCUUUCCUCUUGUUCUCUCUUGACCAGAAUAAACAACAUGAUUACAGAGCUUGCCAUGACCGUUGCCACUAGGUACGAAAACGAUAUAAGAAAUAGUUCAAGGUUCCAUCAGUCAUGCCAAAAUUUAUCGGCAGUCGGCUGAUCAGCGAUGACGAUAUUAUCGGUACAUCCACAAGCGGCUAUCAUUAGCCGUCUAUAAACAAGAAAAAAGUCAUUUUCUUCAACUUUGAUUAGUUGUCAAGUGAUGCAUGCAUUUUUUCUUAUAGUUGUGGGUAUAUGAUGAUUUUCUUUGUAAUUUUGGAUAGUUAAAAAAGAUUCAUUGCUCGACAAUCGAUGUUGGUUUGUCUUCCCAGGACUGCAGCUUAAGCUCUACCUGGUCAACACUUUACUGAGCGACAUUGGCCCACUAUUAGGUGAUGCUAUUGAUAGUAGUUCGCGAAAGAUUUGG
RNAcentral lists this long non-coding RNA (54714 nucleotides) under Hordeum vulgare. RNAcentral's name for it is "long non-coding RNA (HVUL_LNC016341)". The record is from RNAcentral. Lineage: Eukaryota; Viridiplantae; Streptophyta; Magnoliopsida; Poales; Poaceae.